AUGCAAUAUAUUCAGUGUCAACUUUAUAUAAUUUCACAUCUACUUGAGCCAUAAUAAGUUGAUUUGGCCAAGUUAUAAAUGUGUAUCGCAUUUCAAAUCUUUUUUCAUAUCUACUUUUGUUUUGAAGCUCCUUCUCUCCCAAGUCCCAUCCUUCUCCACCUCUCUACUUUUUCUCCCUCUUUUUUCUUCUUAUUUGUCUGCCUUCUCAAAUAAGCUUUAGUGGAGAUUCAUCAGUUCAUGGAUAUUGAUCUCCUCUGGGCUCUUGGGGGGGAUAAAUAUUACUGGCUAAUUAUUUUUCUUCUUUUUCCGAUAAUUAUUUCGAGAUUUUAUACUCAUUCUCCCUGCAGCUUGCAUGGCACUCACUACAAAGAACUCGCGUAAUUUUGACAGAAAAUUUCUGGAGGUUUCCACUUCAACAUUUUCCGAAAAAUCUACUAAACCAAACCAUCAUCUCCAUAUCCUCAUCUUCACUGUCCUUUCCAUCUUGUUGAUCCUCUUUUGUGCGGUAUCGAUAUCAUCAGAUGAUUCAUCAGCUAGGGCUGCUUCAAUGAUAAUUCCGAUAUCUAGGAGGCAGCUUCUUUCUUCAACAAUGAAUAGUUUCAAUACUAAAAAGGUGAAUGGUGAUAAAUCUACUGAUCUACCAGCUUCGAAGAGCAACCGAAAAGCCAAAUUCGAAGGAGAUGCUCAUGAAGUUCCUAGCGGACCAAACCCUAUCUCCAACAGGUAAACAGACAGAUAAAUAAGCGUAAGGAGGAUAAUUUGGUUGCACUGCAGGCUUUGAGGCUGCGUUAUAAAUGUGCUCCCAACAGAUAUCAUUUAUGGCGAUCAUCAUCGAUUACCAAGCUUGUCCUUAUAAGUUAGGAGUUUGUUAUCUUUGUUUCAUAUGGUUGGCAUCAGCUUUAAUUUUCUUCUCUCUUUUUUUUCCUUCUAGAAAUGUAUACAAAAGAUACUCUAUUUAAAUUUAUAUAUUUUAUUUGUGUAACCAUCUUUAUGUAGAUGAUGAUCCUGGUGGAGGUGUUAUAUAUUUAUUAUGUAGAGUUCUGGGACUUAUGGCUGAUCGAUAAUUUUCCGCAUAUAUAAUUUUUUUUAAUAAUAUGCUUAAUAUUUGUUUCACAUUUAUGUGUGUUGUUCUCUGUGAUUCUUGCAGUAUGUUGGAUCACACUCAUUUAAAAAACAUUUCUUGGUAUUUAUUCGUGAUAAGUAUGCUGUAAUAAUUAUCCGUCGGGUUCGAUUCGAACCUGGUACCAUGAUAACGAGGAACAAAUGGUAUAGUAUGAAGUUGAGAGAGAGGGGAAGGAAUAUAUGUGAUGAAAAACAGCUAGCAAUGUAGGGGCAGCUGUGAGUAAGAUGCUGAUCAGAUCUGAUAUUGCUGGUGUAAUAGUGAAAAAGGGAAAGUCCCUAGCUUUAACUUUGUAUUUCCUCCGUUUCAAAAUAGUUGUCCGAUCUGAUUUUUGCACUCCUAUUUCAAAGUAUACAGAAUAACUUCACAGAUCAUUUUUUAAAAUUCCUUUUCCCUUAAACAUCUUUUAAAAAAUAAUAAUUAAUAAAAUUAUCCGAUCAAUACAUCUUAAAAUACGUGUAUAAAAUCAUGAGUUGGACCUAGAUAUCUUGUACUGCAACCAACAUUAUUUGAAAUUCCUCUGAUGGCCUUUUACUUUAAAUUUGUCCUCACAAUCAAGCGCGGCUCCCAAUAAAGCUGAUGAAAAUCAAACAUAUUGAAUUGAUAAUAAUCAUGAUUCUAUGAUUUCAUAACAAUAGUGUAACAAACAGUAACUGUUUAGUUCCCUGUUAUUGAACAAUCAUGCAUUUUCACUUAGCUUCAUCAUUGUGUUUUUCUUCUGUUCAUGUUUUUUGGUUUCUUGCAGCAAAUGGAGUCUCUGCUAACUCAUCUGUCAACACUUAGUGCGUGUAUUUAUAUGUCUCCUCAUUCACGUAUUUAUUUACAUGUUAUACUCCCUCCGUCCCAGAUUACAUGAAAAGUCCGAUAACAAAAAUCUUAUGAGCGGUUUAAACAAAAUUUCUUGAGUAAUCAGAUGGGAAAACUAGUCAAGUAAGCUUGUUGGAGAUAGUUAUAGAUCAGAAGAAUCAAUAUCUGCUCAUUAGCAGAACUCUUUCUGAAACAUACAAGUUCGGAAAUGGGAAUCAGGAAUGGACUUUUUUUUUUUUUUUUUGAAUAAAAUCGAACUUGCAUUAGAUAAUAGAAUCUAGCUCCAACGAGUGAACAAUGAGAUUAGGAGGAGUGACAACCCACUCUCCUACGUCUGCCUACGUCUGUCAUAGAAUAAGCAGCCUGUGCUAGGACGUGGGCUACAUUAUUCGCAGAACGAAAAGCAAAACGAAAUAGCACUUGAUUUAUGUGCUUACUUAAACCAAUACAAUCAGUGACAAUUGUGUCAAACAAAGAAUUCCCCGGGCUGCCAUUGCAAGUAGCAGCUAAUGCGUAGCAAUCAGUUUCAAACUCACUCUUCUGGUAGCCUUUCUUUAUAACCCAGGCCAAAGCUUCUUUAAGGGCCAAGGCCUCAGCUUCCCGCGGAUUCCAUUUACCUGGAAGUUUCAGAACAUGAGCUGCAACAAAGCCCCCUUGAUCAUCUCUGACUACUGCUGCGACUCCAAUUCCACCAAGCAUGAACACUGCUGCGUCAACAUUUACUUUAAACCAUCCCAUUGACGGCUUCGACCACACCCUGUCCCCAUUCACUCCUGUAACUGACAUACUCCCUUCUCUCGCCUGCACCUCUGUCCAUUCUCGAAUUAAGCCCUUGGCUGUGUUCCACACCCCAAAAAUAGAACCAUUCGCAUGAUUCCAAACCCAUUUGUUUCGACGGUGCCAUAAGCUCCAGCACAGCAUUGCCACUUCUAAGCACUGAUCUUUAGGUUAAUUUCAUAAUUACUUCAUGGUUAAUACGCAGUCCUGAGUCCUAACAUAUUACAGUAUAGAUGAAAAUCUUCUUUCAGGUCUAAGUGAUUAAGAGUUUAUCCUCUGUCAUCCCAGAUCCUGGGUUCGAUCCUAGCUCAACUCGAGAAUUUCUUAGAACAGGUACUCAUUUGUUGAGGCUAUAAGCCAUAUUAGUCAAAAAAAAAAAAAAAAGAGCACACAAAUUUCCUUAAGCCGGUUCCUGAUUGCGGAUGAGUUGCCUACAAUACUAAACCUGCAGUGUAUUCAUAAAGCUCGACUACGCCACAUAUAAACUAUGAUCCCUGGUUGUCUUAAUGCAUCAGCUUCCUCAAUAGGUAGCAAUCAAGAGAACUCUGCACUGACUGUUUCACUUCUCUUCAACAUAAAUGGCAUCCUUGGCCUUAGUGUCCUAGAUUUUGAUUUUUGUGGUGUCUUGCAGUACUAAGUGCUUGAACUUCGCCUUUAACCAAUAUACUAUACGAAGCUCGCUUAAGUCACCAUAAGCGUCUGGAUACUGCCCUGUCUUGCUCUGCUUACUGGAGUCUACUACCACCCCUAACCACCUUGUUUUCACAUUUGCCGCUUACACCAUUUUUUAUUUUUGGGCUCACUUUAUCCCCCGAACUCCUAAUUAACUACUCUACUAAGAGUCUGUUAUUAAAAUUAAAGAUUAUAAUCUAUAUCAAUCCCCAUAAACUUUUCUGUUUGUAACAGAGGACAUAACUAAUUCAUGACUUAUUCAAGGACGGAACUUAAAACAAAGAUAAUUAGACGGAUAGUAGCUAUCUAAAUUUAUAGAAAAUGAUAGUCAAUCUGUAAGCUAGAACUCAGAAUUUAAAAAAGAACAAUUAUUCAUGUACUGAAAUCACAAUUCACAAGUAAUACCUCCGCAACCAUAUCCAUGAAAAACUUCAUUCAAAAGCAAAAAUAGCUAAUUAGUUGCUUCUCGUACUUCAUUUAAUUGAAAACAAGGCUCUCAGGAGAGCAAAUGACAUAUACUAAACAUAAAUACGCGACAGCCACAGUAAUACCAGAAAUUAGACAGCUAUUGCAUACCAAUUUAUUUUAGAAGCUCAAAUUCUUGAAAACCUUCGGGUGAAACAAGGCUCUCGGUGUACUUAUUUUAGAAGCUCAAAUUCUUGAAAACCUUCGGGUGAAACAAGGCUCUCGGUGUACUUGACAAGUGAACUGAACCAUCCAACAGGAGCGGGUGAAAGAAGCUUCUUGACAUCUUUCUUUUUGUAGUCAUAAAAGAUGUGUCCAUCAUCAGCUUUUGCUACAAAUUGCCCAGCACCCAGAUAAAUAUAUACCCAAUCUAUCUUCACAUCACCCUCAAAAUUGAACUUCUUAGUCCAAGCCACUUUGUCAUCACAAACAUUAUCCAACGUCCAUAGACUAAGACCUGAUCCAUCGACGGCCUUAAAGAUCACUGCAGCAGAACCUUCAAAAUCCAAAACAUCUGAUAUUGGAUACUGCACGUCCUCCGGUAAGGGAUAGUGAUAUGCUCUAAACACCUCUUUAUCCAAAUCAAAUGAUAGUAAUUCAUAAGCACAUUCAAAAUAUAAUACCCCGGUUUUGAGAUCAUGAACACACUUUGAAUUUGUGUAAAGCUCUAUAUUCCCCAGGUCUGCAGGAACUUUGAGCUCUUUGAAAUUACCAGUUUUCAAAGAAUACAUAUCUGCUAUUAGGUCAUCACAAUAAUCAGCUCCAAAUGUUAACCUAAACUCAACUGAAAACCUAAGAAGCUUGUAGUCAUCACAAGUAGAAUCAUAAACAAAUACGAAAUCAAUUGCUUCCCCUCGUCCUUCCGGAAACACACAAAGUUUUUUCAACUGCCUGCUCAAAGGAUUCCAUAAGUACACAACAUUAGCACAUUGUUCAACAAGACAAACAAGACCAUUACAAGAACAUAUCCACCUAACCCAAAGUGUAACAUGGAGCCUGACAGAUUCUUCGAGAGUAUCGAGAUAGAGAUGAUAAAAUUUUCUGUCAAGAAGGACAAGGGUGGCUGGUUUUUUCUGAGAAUUGGUGAGGUGAGUAUCGAUAAAUUGUUGGUCCGAUAUUAUGGAUAGCCAUGACUUGCAAACUGAACGGAACCGGAGCAGUGAUUUCACGGGUAAAUAUGAAAGUAUUUCGAAGAUAAGGUCUUGUGGGAAGUGAUAACUACAACCUGAUGCCAUUGAUCAGGCCAAAUCUUUGGAACUGAAGCUGGAAGAACCAAUACACUUUAUAAAACCCUAAUAUUGGCGAACAAGAUAUUCGUCUAUUAUAAUUUUGAUCGGUCAAAUUGAAUAUACUGAAAUUUACAUUUAUUAUAUAACUGAAAAAAAUUUUAAAAAAUUAUAUCACUAUAAAGUAUAUCUUGUCCACUUAAAUAUACAAUUUUAGAUUUUAAAAAUAAUAAAUUGAUAAUUAAAAAUUGAUCAAACUCCUUAAAAACUAACGGGGUUGUAUUGUAUUGAGAUUUUAAAGCAUUUUUUUUCCAUUUAUGAAAUCCGAAGGUAUUAGAUUGAGAUUGUUUAAAAUCCAUUAAAAUCUUACGUAUUCAAUUAGGAUUUUAAAUUAUAUUACAAAAUAUGGUGGUAUUCAGUUAGGAUUUUAAAUCAUACUUUAAAUAUUCCAAUCGAAUUCAAUUGGGAUUGUUUAAAAUCUAUUAAAAUCUGAUAUUAUUCAAAUGCUUUUUUUUUUGAUCAAAUAUUAUUCAAAUGCUGAUGGAUUUUUUUGGAUUUCAUAAAAUAAUGUCCUCAAUGUUUUUUAAGUUUUUUGAAAUCUCACCAAAAUUCAUGAAAUUUUGAAGCAUUGUGCUUAAAUCUUAUCAACUCUACAACAUUUUAUCAAGAAUCUACACAAAAUCAAAAUCACAUACAAUCUAUUAAAAUUUAUAAACUAAAAAUAAUCCAUUACGCCCCGAUAAAAAUGAACAUAUAAAAGAGACCAUGGGAGUAUAUUCAAGUGAUAUAUCCUUUCCACCUUGCGAAUUUCAUAUUAGUAUUUGAUACAUAAUAAUAGUAAAAGAUAUUUAUGUAUAAUAUUUAAAUAUAAAAUAAAAUUUGUAUAUCGAUGUUUUUUAUUUGUGUAGGUUUUACAAAUAAAAUAUAACUUACUUCUUUAUAUUUAUAAUAAAAUAAAAAUAGGUUUUCUAAAAAUUAAAAUAAAAGCACGUUUCUAAAUUUCAAAUAGAAGUAAAUUUUGUAAUUAAUUACGACUUGAGAUUCUUUAUAUCACGAUAUAAAUACGAAUUUUUAGAGUUUAUUCUAUAAACUUUAAAAUUUUUAAUAUAUAUAAUAUUUAAAUUUGAAAAUAAUUUAUAAUCGUUUUUUAGUUUUUAGAACCAUUGUUUAACAACCAUUUUUUAGGGGCGGAUUGCGAAUUAAAAGAAGAAUCUGAUAAUAAAAAAUUUAUGAACGGUUUAAAGAAAAUUUAUUGAGUUAAAAGAAAUUUUAUUUAUGGUUGAAGGUGAAAUUUUUUUUUGGAUUGUUCCCCGAUGUAUUCCAUUCAAAAUGGGAUCAUACAUUUUAGGCAAGUAAUAUUUUCUAGUCUUAUCAUUACACAAUUUAGUACUUUUUUCGAGUAUAUCUAGAGAAAAAAAUCUGGUAUCUAGAACCUCAAUUCUAUUUAAAAACUCGUUGUUUAAGUUGUUAUUUUUGUGUUGGUUAGUAUAAACCCAAUGAUUGUAUAGUUCAGCUGAAGAGAGUUUUUCUAGUGUGGAGAUAUGUAAAAGAGAUUCUUUCUUUUCCAUCACUUCGGCAUGUAUAAAAAAAAAAUUGUGACAUUUCUUUUCUUGUAGUCCUUUCAAAUCUAUUAUUUUUAUGUAUCGUAAUGGGCGAUUCCAUCGUUUAUAAUUGAUAAGAAAGGUCAGAAGAGGUUUUUCAAACGCCCAUCGUUUAUAACCGAUAAGAAAGGUCAGAAGAGGUUUUUCAAACCAGAAGAGGUGAAAAUAGUUAUAGAUCAGAAGAAUCAGUAUCUGCUCGUUAGCAGAACUCUUUCUGAUACAUAGAGUUCUGGGAAGGGGAAUCGCAAGUAAUACCUCUGCAACCAUAUCCAUGAAAACUUCAUUCAAAUAAAAACAGAGCUAAUUAGUUUUACUUCUCGUCCUGUGAUUAAUUGAACACAAUGCUCUCAGGCAAGCAAAGGACAAAUCCUAUAAAGGAAAAAGCGCAAAAAAGCCAUUAGCAAUACCAGAAAUCAGACCACUAUUGCUUACCAAUUUAUGUUAGAAGCUCAAAUCCUUGAAAUACUUCGAGUGAAACAAGGCUCUCGGUGUACUUGACAACUGAAUUGAACUGUCCAACAGGAGCGGGUGAAAGAAGCUUCUUGACAUCUUUCUUUUUAUAGUCAUAAAAGAUGUGUCCAUCAUCAUUUUUUGCUACAAAUUGCCCAACACCCAAAUGAAGAAAUACACAAUUUAUCUUCACAUCAGCCUCAAUAUUGAACUUCUUAGUCCAAGCCACUUUGUCGUCACAAACAUCAUCCAACGUCCAUAGACUCAGAACUGAUCCAUCGACGGCCUCAAAGACCAUUGCAGCAGAACCUUCAAAAUCCAAAACAUUUGAUUUUGAAUGCUGCACGUGGUCGGGAAAGGGAUAGGGAUAUACUCCAAACACCUCUUUCUCCAAAUCAAAUGAUAUUUAUUCAUCCAUACCUUCAAAAUAUAAUACCCCGGUUUUGAGAUCAUGAAAACAUUUUGAAUUUGUGCGAACCUCUAUAUUCUUUACGUUGUCAGGAACAUUGAUCUCCUUAAAAUUUCCAUUUUUCGAAGAAUACAAAUCUGCUACUAGGCCAUUAGCAAUGUAAUCCCUAUCAGGAGGAUAAUAAUAUGUAUGUAACACACAAAAUGUAAGCCUAAGAAGCUUGUAGUCAUUACAAGUAGAAUCAUAAACAAACAUGAAAGCACUUUCAUCCCAAUCUCCUCGUCCUUUCGGGGAGCAAAGUUUACUCAACUGAUGAUUGGUCCACGGAUUCCAUAAGUACAUAACAUUACCAUACUGUUCCGUAAGACAAACAAUACCAUUACAAGAACACAUCCAACGAGCCCUACCAUUGCGUUGUGGUGGAACAUGGAGCCUGACAGAUUCUUCACGAGUAUCGACAUAGACAUUGUCAAAAUCAUUAUCAAGGACUAGGGUGGCUGGUUUUUUCUGAGAAUUGGUGAGGUGAGUAUCGAUAAAUUGUUGGUCCGAUAUUAUGGAUAGCCAUGACUUGCAAACUGAACGGAACCGGAGCAGUGAUUUCACAGGUAAAUAUGAAAGUAUUUCAAAGAUAAGUUCUUGAGGGAAGUGAUAACUACUUCUUAAUGCCAUUGAUCAAGCCAAAUCUUGAAACUGAAAAUUGAAAGAACCGAUGGACUUUAUAAACCCUAUCUUUAUUUUGAAAUCUUUCCGAAUAUGAUAGAGUAAUCACUUGAGCACAAUUGAUCAAUAUUUUUAAAUUUUGUCCAGUAAGAUAAUCAGUUAAGCAUAAUUAAAGAGAUUCAGUUAUCCGUAUCAAUAUAUAUAUUUUGUGAUCAGGGAGAUUAUAAUACUUUAAGAUCACAAAUAUUUUACUUUAUCUCGAAAAAAUUAAAUAUAAUUAUAUAUUUCACAAAGUAAAGUCUAACCAUAUAUAUAAUAUGAUAUAUUAAUUUUUCUAUUACACAUUUAUGAAUUGGAUUAUUCCUAAAAAUUAUAUUUUGUUCAGUUAUAAAUUGUAAGCAUUACUUAUUUAGAUAUGAAUUAAAAUUUAUUAUAAUUAUUAUAUAAAUAAUAAUUUUUAAGUAAAAUUAGAAUUUUACCAAAACUUGAGAAUUAAAAUAAUAUCCUAAAAAGCUAAAACCAGUGAUUAGAUCCCAUGAGUCCCCCAUUUCCUUAACAUUUUUUUAGUUUUGAAAUCUUGCUAAACAUAAAUAAUAAUCAGUUAAGCACUGUCUAAGAUUAUAACCAUUGUCAAAGAAAAAAGAAAAAAGAAUUACACAUAUCUUUAUUAAUAUUUUAUGAAUUUUGAAAUCUUAUCUAAUGUGCAUAAGUGAUGAGUUUUUCUUUUAUAUCUAAACACUGAUCUAUUAUACCUUGUGAGCUAUGUUAUUCGUAGACCGUUAACAAAUUUAGCUGAUACUUCUCUCCCUUCCAAAUCCUCCAAUAAAGCCUUGCAUUCCUCUUUCUAUUACUCUUCAGACGACCAAGCAAUAGCUUCGAUCAGCGCUCUCAUGUCACAUUAAUCUAUACUAUACUAUAAUAAGCCAAGAUAAGUAUAAUUUGUAGUCCUACUUUUUGUUCCUAUUUUUUGGUUUGAUCGUUUUUUUUAUCGACUAUACUAAUAUUUUAUUAUCGUCCUCUAUUAGAAGUCUACUCCUAACAAUCAACAGAGUUUGGUUUGUACAAAACCAACUGCUACACAUAACAACCCGGUAUACAGCACCGUGCGAGCUGCUUUUUCCGUUGCCCUGCUUGCUUACUUUCUCUGUAAAUUAUACAAUUCCAAUUACUCCUCUGCUUCUUCUUCUUCUUCAUAUAAUUAAACUAAAAUUAUAUGGCCGCCCGUGCUUCGCACGGGUUAUAGGUUAUUAUAUACUUAUAUAUAAUAAGCGUAAGGGAGAUAAUUUGCGAGCUGCUUUUUCCGUUGCCCUGCUUGCUUACUUUCUCUGUAAAUUAUACAAUUCCAAUUACUCCUCUACUUCUUCUUCUUCUUCAUAUAAUUAAAUUAAAAUUAUAUGGCCGCCCGUGCUUCGCACGGGUUAUAGGCUAUUAUAUACUUAUAUAUAAUAAGCGUAAGGGAGAUAAUUUGGUCGCAUGGUCCUAUGGUCCAAAAGCUUAUCAUCCGUUAGAUCGUAUAUUGAACAAAUAAGCACCGUUAAAUUGGAACAAAAUUAACUUCUGUUCUAUAAGGCAACUGAUAUCUAAUUGCAGGUUUAUAAUUCCUUUUCUGAAUCCAAAACAAAUUAUGUUUCUCACGUGUUUAUGAUUGUUUUAAUCCAAAAUAAAUAUUUACUACCAGUUUUAUUUGUAGAAUCAUAUAAAUCGCACCGUCAUAAUUCUUUUAUAAUAUAUUUUAAAAUUAAUAAGCCGGAUUUAUGUGAGUAACGAAUACAAAAACUUUUUCUUAAUCCAAAAUAGUUUUUACCUUCUUAUUGCAUGUUUAUGGUUCCUUUUCUUAAUUCAAAUCAAAUUAUUUUUAUCAAUUUUAAUCUAGAACCAUAUAAAUUUUUUGAAAAAUAUUUAAAUCACAUUAUAAUAAUUCUAAUAUAAAAUACAUUUAUAAAUAUAAUCUAAUAGGAGUUGGCGUAACAUAUUCUACUCAAAAUAUAUUAAAAUUUGAUAGAAAGAAUUUAAUACCUUGACAUGAUACAUACGAGAAUAGGAAUGGCUUCAUUAUAAUAGUUUAUUUGAAACCAUUAAUAGUUGUUAUCGUGUAUUUGCAACAGUUAUAACUUACAAACAAGUCACAAUUUCGAAUUUUAUUUUAUUGAAAAUUUUAAUUUAUUAUUUAUAAAUUAAAUUUUUUCACACUAUUUAAAAUAUAUUUAAAAAGAUUCCGUGCCUUGCACGGGCUAUAAGCUAGUAAUAAUAAUAAUGAAACCUCAAAUUCGACUACAAAUUUCCGACAUGAAUACGUAUUCCAGACUUGGCAACAAAUUGAAAAGUAUACAUAUUUUUGACGAAACAAGUGUCCAAGUCCAUGUGUCUAUGUCCAAAUAUAGAGUCUUCGACACGAGUACUCGAAGGUUAUACGAAGAGUACGAGUAACACAGUAUUAAACCAGCAGUGUAUUCAUAAAGCUCGACUACAUCGGUGGCAAUCAAGAGAACUUAGGAACCCUUGGCCUUGGUGUCCUAGAUUUUGGUUGUUUGGUCUCUUACAGUACCAAGUGCUUGAACUUAGGAACUAUAAUGCAUUAAGUUAUAGAAUUAUUUGGACUAUGAUUAUGUUAUAGAAUUACAAUCUCACUGAUUCCACCACUCUAAGAGAGUAUUAGUAUUACGCGUUCCAACUCAUAUGAACAGAUCGCCUUUUAACCAAUACACUAUAUAUACAAAGCUCGCUCAAGUCGCCAUAAGCGUUUCAAUUCUGUUCUUCUUGCUUUGCUUACUGGAGACUACUACCACCCCUAACCACCUUGUUUUAACAUUUGCCGCUUACACCAUUUUUCUGGACCAAUGACAGUUUUAUUUUCGGCCUCACUUUCUCCCCCAGACUCCUAAUUAACUAGUCUACUAAUAGUCUGUUAUUAAAAACGAAGAUUAUAAUUAAUCUAUAUCAAUCCCCAUAUACUUUUCUGUUUGUAACAGAGGAUCACUUAUUCAAGGACAGAACUUAAAACAAAGAUAAUUUGACCGAUGGUAGCUAUCUAACGGGGGUGUAUUCGAUGAGAUUCUAAUGGAUUGUUUUUAGUUCAUAGAUUUUAAUAGAUUGUAUGUGAUUUUAUACAAAAUGAUAGUCGAUCUGUAAGCUACAACUCAGAAUUUAAAAAAGAACAAUUAUUCAUGUACUGAAAUCGCAAGUAAUACCUCUGCAACCAUAUCCAUGAAAAACUUCAUUCAAAAGCAAAAAUAGCUAAUUAGUUGCUUCUCGCACUGUGAUUAAUUGAACACAAGGCUCUCAGGCAAGCAAAUGAUAGAAAAAGAGCGAAAAAAAUCCAUGGUAAUACCAGAAAUUAGACCACUAUUGCUUUCCAAUUUAAUUUAGAAGCUCAAAUCCUUGAAAUCCUUCAGGUGAAACAAGGCUCUCCGUGUACUUGACAACUGAACUGAAGUCUUCGAAAUCUCCAGGGGGUAAAAGAAGCUUCUUGACAUCUUUCUUUUUAUAGUCAUAAAAAAAGAUGAGUCCCUCAUCAUUUUUUGCUACAAAUUGCCCAGCACCCCAAUACAGACAUACCCAAUCUAUCUUCACAUCAGCCUCAAAAUUGAACUUCUUAGUCCAAGCCACUUUGUCGUCACAGACAUUAUCCAACGUCCAUAGACUCAGAACUGAUCCAUCGACGGCCUCAAAGACCAUUGCAGCAGAACCUUCAAAAUCCAAAACAUUUGAUUUUGAAUGCUGCACGUGGUCGGGAAAGGGAUAGGGAUAUACUCCAAACACCUCUUUAUCCAUAUCAAAUGAUAUUAAUUCAUCAAAACCUUCAAAAUAUAAUACCCCGGUUUUGAGAUCAAGAACACAUUUUUCAUUUGUGCCAAACGCUAUAUUCUUUAGGUUUUCAGGAACAUUGAUCUCCUUAAAAUUUUCAGUUUUCGAAGAAUACAAUUCUGCUAAUAUUAGCUCAUCAAAAGAAUUUGUAUAUGACACUCUUGUAAGCCUAAGAAGCUUGUAGUCAUUACAAGUAGAAUCAUAACCAAACACGAAGUCACUUAGGAGUACUUCCUGAUCUUCUCGUCUUCUCCGGACAGUUAAAAGUUUUUUCAACUGCUUGGUCGCCGGAUUCCAUAAGUACAUAACAUUAUUAUGAAAAUCACUGUCCGCAAGACAAACAAGACCACUACAAGAAGAUAUGCAAUCAAACCUACCCUUGCUUGGAAGUUUGAGCCUGACAGAUUCUUCGAGAGUAUCAAGCUGAUAGACACGGUGAAAAUAUUUAUCAAGGAUUAAGGGGGCUGGUUUUUUCUGAGAAUUGGUGAGGUGAGCAUUGAUGAAUUGUUGGUCCGAUAUUAUGGAUAGCCAUGACUUGCAAACUGAACGGAACCGGAGCAGUGAUUUCACGGGUAAAUAUGAAAGUAUUUCGAAGAUAAGGUCUUGAGGGAAGUGAUAACUACAACUUGAUGCCAUGGAAGAACCGUAGACUUUAUAAACCCUAAUAUAAGCAAACAAGGAUAAAGUAGUGAUAUAACGAAAAGGAUUCACGUAUACUAUACGUAGAUUUUAACUUUGAAUUUUUAUUAACAACGGUGAUCAGUUAGAUAUCCUUGUCAAUGAGGAACUUAUAACUCCUUCGUGUCCUUUAGGUGUUUGGUUGGAGAAGGGUAUCAGGUUGGAAUAAUUAAGGAGUCGGGUUAAAAUAGUAUGAGUUUGAGGUAUUAGAUGUUUGAUUGAGUCGUGCAAUGAUUGUAUAUAAUGUUUACGAGUUAUUAAUUGUAAUUAAUUUAAAAUAUCAUUAAAUUAAUAUUUAUAUAUAUUUUGAGUCAUUAAUUUUAUUUUAUAUUAAUAAUCUACAUGAAAUGAUAUAAAUAGUAUUAAAAACAAAAAGAAAAAAAUUGAUUCAUGGAACCCAUAUUUCAUACCUAUCUCUUCCUUAGGUAUGAAAUCUCAUACCUUGUGGUUCAAGAAAUGAGUUUGAUGAAAGAAAUUUUACAACCAGAUAUGGCAUACCAGAAAAACCCGAAUGAAACGACCCCAAGAAUACUAGCUGUCACGCCAUUUAUAGCACCUUUAAUUUUAUCGUUUAUAUUUUAAAUUCAAUUAAAAUACAAAUCUAUUGUAUUAAAUUUUUUUAAAUAUUUUCACUUAAUUGGGUAAUAAGAAAAUUGAUUCGAACACGUUUACCGACCGGCUGAUAAAACUUGACCGACUAAUAAUAUUAAUAAUAUUUCACUUUUAAGUAGAAAAAAUAUAUGAAAUUUAUUAUAAGAAUUAUAUUUUAUUUGUGAAACUGUUUUAUUUGUAAACAUUAAAUUCUAUAUUUUAUAUUAAAACAUUACAUAUAAAUAAUUUUUAUUAUUAAAUUUUGACCUUUCAUCAAAUAAUAAGAUUUAAGAGUUUUAAUAUUCUGCAGUACUAAAAAUUAAUUUUAUAAUAAUUAAUAUUUUCUGAAACUAUUAUUUACACAUCCCAUGAUCCCAAUCUAGUUUAUUAUGUAUACAUUAAUCUAAUUUCAAAAAAAAAGUAUAAAUUAAAAUAAAUUUUAGUUUUGGUAAAUAAGUACAUGAGUCGGUUUGGGCCGCUGAACAAGUUGGACAUGGCCCACAAACAGUGUUUCAAUUGCAAUGAAAUUGGGGUCAAAUGGGCUGGACCAUAAUCUCUUGAAACCCAAAGUAUGAUUAACAGUUUAACAAUAUUGAGAUUCCAUAUUUUCAUGGAACUUACUUGCCUCCUAAAUGAGUUAACUUAUUCUUUUUAUUUACCCAUUGCUUCAGAUAUUUAUUUUCUCGUGAAAUGCUGAAGUAUAGAUAGUUCAUAUUUGUUAAUCUGGUAAUUUGUGCUUGAUGGGUUGUUCUUAUUAGCUCAAAGUUUUGAAAUUUAAGAAUUUUAAGCAAGUCCUUUGCUUGUUGCAAGUCAGGUAGGGUCUGAACUCUAAAUUCUUUUAGCCUGUGGAAUUUGUUGGUAAUAGAGAGAGAGGGAGGGAGAGGGAGAGAGGAGGGAGAGGGAGAGAGAGGGAGAGGGAGGGAGGGAGAGAGAGAGGAGGGAGAGAGAGAGAGAGAGAGAGAGAGAGAGAGAGGGGGGUGAGAGAGAAAUGGAGAGAAAGAGAGAGACCUACUUGCCCUUCUGGAAUUCUUAAAAGAGAUGAGAAGUGAAGUUUGAAGGAGGGAAGGGAGGAGUUGAACUUGACCUAUUUGGGUAUCUUGAGAUUCCUUUAAUUAAUUAGUAGCCCUCUGGAUAUUAAUAGAGAUGAGAAGUGAAGUUUGGAGAUGGGGUUUAGGUUUGAGUUACAUAGUGUUGGUUGCAAUUAUUUGGAUUGCUUCUAGUUUUGUAGUUCAAUCAGUUGUUGAUUCUGGGGUUUCGCCAUUUCUUAUUACCUAUACAUGUAAUUCAUUGUUUGUGGUUUAUUUACCCUUAGUGGAAAUUGGACGGUGUUUGAAAGAUAUGUAUAGUAGCUUAGUUUUCUGCAGAAAAGAUGGUAGUUUGCUCAAGCGAAAUGGGUCAGAAGAGGCUAUUCUUCUUAGCGGAAGUGAUAGUAAUUAUCAAGUUGAGAGUUUGAAUCAAGGUGAGGUUGAAGAGAAAUCAGAACCUCUUAAUUGCGAUGGUAUUGUGGUUGGGACAUUAGAAUCGGAUCAAACUGGUACAUAUGAAAAUGUUGAUGAUGGUCUGGACGAGAGAGGACGGUGGACUCGGAUUAGGGUGGCAAAAGUAAGCUUGUUAAUAUGCCCAUUUUGGUUUCUCGCACAACUUACAUUCAAUUUUUCCCUAAAAUAUACUACAGUCACGGUAAGUAAUUUAAAAUUGUAUUGUUCUAAUAUACUUUUUGCUUAAUCUCUUCAGGGAUGUUAACAAUUUAAUCCUUGUCUACAGUCCAACACCAUCCUAAGCAGUGCUUCAAGUCUUUUCACGUUCCUUGUCUCUCUAGCUUUUUUGGGUGAGACAUUCACUUUGGUAAAGCUGAUUAGCGUCCUUCUUUGCAUGGGAGGAACAAUUAUUGUUAGUUUGGGGGACUCAGAAUCAGGAUUGAGAAAUGUUGCCUCAAAACCUCUUCUUGGGGAUAUCCUUGCUCUUAUAUCUGCUGCAUUAUAUUCUGUGUAUAUUACACUUAUUCGUAAACAUAUACCUGAUGAUGACGUUGGAAAUCACGGGCAUGUUAGUAUGGCACAAGUCCUUGGAUUUCUUGGGCUGUUCAACCUUCUGAUUUUUCUGCCUGUUGCACUGGCACUCAAUUUCACCAAGUUGGAGCCUUUUAGUAUGCUCACUUGGAAGCAGUUUGGCCUGAUUGUCGGAAAAGGUAUGUUUCCCUAGUAGCCUUGUCAUUUAUAUUUGAAAUUCCUACACAUUUUAGUCCUGGUCAAAUGAUAAUCUUUAUAUUGAAAAUCGUGGUUGUAGAUGUUAUAUUCAAUUGAGGUAUGUUGUGUGGUAAAAGUGAGCCAAUUUUCACAUAUAAGAUUGUGCGAACAGACUUAUCACAUUGCUUUUUGAUCAACUCUUUCAAUUUUCAUCUACCUCUUUCUUAUUCCUUAUAAAAUGUAGACUCUUUCAUCAUGUGGAAUUUUCUACGUCUGGAACCUUUUUACUUUUCAUCAUGAAGGUCAAAUUAUGUUAUGGACAUCUUACGGAACCAAAACUAAUGUCAAAAUGGUUGUCUUGGUUUUCCUGGAAAAAUGAGAGGAUAAUUUUAGCAGAAGGCCUUUUCUAAUCCACCCAAACGUCGACCUUCUAGAUGGUAGGCAAAACUCGUUAAAGUCUAAGCUGUAUACCUGAUAUUUAUCUAUUGUUUGGUAGAAACAGAUGAAAUACUGGAAAUGGCAAUAACAUGUUUCCACCCCAUAAAUAUUUAAAAUAGAAAACUCUAUAAUCCAAAUCUUCCUGUCAUUGUUACUCCUUCAACAACUACUUGCUCCAACUUAAUUACAGGAUAAGAUGCAACGAUUGACAUGCACAUGAAGUUCAUACUUCUUCUGUUUGUGUUCUGUUUGUAUUGUUUUAUAUAAAUUAUUUGAUUUGUGAAGUAAAGUCAUUUCAUUUCAUUAGGUUUGAUAGACAAUGUUUUAAGCGAUUACCUGUGGGCCAAGGCUGUUCUUCUCACGACGACAACAGUAGCAACAGCAGGACUCACAAUUCAAGUCCCUUUAGCUGCUCUUGUGGAUUCAGUGACAGGAAAUGCACCGCAUACUAUGGAUUAUGUGGGGGCUGCUGCUGUCUUGGUCGGUUUUGUGGGCAUUAACAUCCCAUCAGGCACAUUCUCAAGAUCCCUAGUAUCACUUGAAUAAUGCAAAUUGCUGGUCUACUAAUCAAUAUCUCCUUGAAGAAAAUCUACAAGACUACUCUAAUUCGGUUAAAUUUGUAUGAUUGCAGGAAUUUUUGCCUGUUCUGUUUUAUCUUUCUAUCAAUAUUCUGCAAAUGUACUUUGAUUUAACACUUCCUCAAUGUAUAUUUCUUAAUCCAUAGAUCACAAAUUACUGCACAAUAAAUGUUGAUCAUUGUAACUAUUUUUCUGAGUUCAACUCGAAUAUCUGGUUUGAGCUCAACUCAAAAUUCAAAUAUUUAUCCGGCUCAAAUAGCACGUGAGCUAUUUGAGCCAAAUAGCUCACGUGAGCUCAAAUUGCUCACUUUGUCGUCACAAACAUCAUCCAACGUCCAUAGACUCAGAACUGAUCCAUCGACGGCCUCAAAGACCAUUGCAGCAGAACCUUCAAAAUCCAAAACAUUUGAUUUUGAAUGCUGCACGUGGUCGGGAAAGGGAUAGGAAUAUACUCCAAACACCUCUUUCUCCAAAUCAAAUGAUAUUAAUUCAUCCAUACCUUCAAAAUAUAAUACCCCGGUUUUGAGAUCAUGAAAACAUUUUGAAUUUGUGCGAACCUCUAUAUUCUUUACGUUGUCAGGAACAUUGAUCUCCUUAAAAUUUCCAUUUUUCGAAGAAUACAAAUCUGCUACUAGGCCAUUAGCAAUGUAAUCCCUAUCAGGAGGAUAAUAAUAUGUAUGUACUCCCUCCGUCCCAGUCAAUUCUAUACAGUUUCUUUUUUGGGAAAUCCCAUCAAUUCUAUACAUUCCAAAAAUAGUAACUUUUAAUAAUAUAAAACACUAUUACACCUACUACUUUCUUCAACUAUCUUCAUUCUAUAAUAAUAUAAACACUAUUAAACCCACUACUUUCCUCCACUAUCUCAAAUCUAUCAUUAAAUAUAAAUGGGUCCCACCACUUUACCCACUUUUCCUCUAACUCUACUCACUUUUUACACUUUUUCUUGGUAUCCGUGUCCAAACCAUUUGUAUAUAAAUGAUUGGGACGGAGGGAGUAACUAUCUCAAAUCUAUCAUUAAAUAUAAAUGGGUCCCACCACUUUACCCACUUUUCCUCUAACUCUACUCACUUUUUACACUUUUUCUUGGUAUCCGUGUCCAAACCAUUUGUAUAUAAAUGAUUGGGACGGAGGGAGUAACACACAAAAUGUAACCCUAAGAAGCUUGUAGUCAUUACAAGUAAAAUCAUAAACAAACACGAAAGCACUUUCAUCCCAAUCUCCUCGUCCUUUCGGGUCACAAAGUUUACUCAACUGAUUGGUCCACGGAUUCCAUAAGUACAUAACAUUACCAUAUUGUUCCGUAAGACAAACAAUACCAUUACAAGAACACAUCCAACGAGCCCUACCAUUGCGUUGGGUUGGAACAUGGAGCCUGACAGAUUCUUCACGAGUAUCGACAUAGACAUUGUCAAAAGCAUUAUCAAGGACUAGGGUGGCUGGUUUUUUCUGAGAAUUGGUGAGGUGAGUAUCGAUAAAUUGUUGGUCCGAUAUUAUGGAUAGCCAUGACUUGCAAACUGAACGGAACCGGAGCAGUGAUAUCACAGGUAAAUAUGAAAGUAUUUCAAAGAUAAGUUCUUGAGGGAAGUGAUAACUACUUCUUAAUGCCAUUGAUGAUCAGGCCAAAUCUUGAUUCAGAUAUUGAGAUAUUCUUAUUAAUAUUUUUAAGUUUUGAAAAUUUGCGAAAGACUUGAAAAAAUCUGGAUGUUAUUAUCAGUUAGGCAUAAUUAAAGAGAUUCAGAUAUCCGUAUCAAUAUUUUGUGAUCAGGGAGAUUAUAAUAAUUUAAGAUCACAAAUAUUUUACUUUAUCUCGAAGAAAUUAAAUUUAAUUAUAUAUUUCACAAAUUAAAGUCUAACCAUAUAUAUAAUAUGAUAUAUUAAUUUUCUAUUACACAUUUAUGAAUUGGAUUAUUCCUAAAAAUUAUAUUUUGUUCAGAUAUAAAUUGUAAGCAUUACUUAUUUAGAUAUGAAUUUAAAUUUAUUAUAAUUAUUAUAUAAAUAAUAAUUUUUAAGUAAAAUUAGAAUUUUACCAAAACUUGGGAAUUGAAAUAAUAUCUUAAAAAGCUAAAACCAGUGAUUAGAUCCCAUGAGUCCCCCAUUUCCUUAACAUUUUUUUAAUUUUGAAAUUUUGCUAAACAUGAAUAAUAAUCAGUUAAGCACGGUCUAAGAUUAUAACCAUUGUCAAAGAAAAACGAAUUACAUAUAUCUUUAUUAAUAUUUUAUGAAUUUUGAAAUCUUAUCUAAUGUGCAUAAGUAAUGAGUUUUUCUUUUAUAUCUAAACACUGAUCCAUUAUACCUUGUGUGUGAGCUAUGUUGUUCGUAGACCGUUAACAAAUUUAGCUGACACUUCUCUCCCUUCCAAAUCUUCCAAUAAAGCCUUGCAUUCCUCUCUCUAUUACUCUUCAGACGACCAAGCAAUAGCUUCGAUCAGCGCUCUCAUGUCACAUUAAUAAUAAUAAUAAUGAAACCUCAAAUUCGACUACAAAUUUCCGACAUGAAUACGUAUUCCAGACUUGGCAACAAAUUGAAAAGUAUACAUAUUUUUGACGAAACAAGUGUCCAAGUCCAUGUGUCUAUGUCCAAAUAUCGAGUCUUCGACACGAGUACUCGAAGGUUAUAUGAAGAGUACGAGUAACACAGUAUUAAACCAGCAGUGUAUUCAUAAAGCUCGACUACAUCGGUGGCAAUCAAGAGAACUCUGCACUGAUUGAUUCAAUUCUCUUCAACAUAAAUGGCACCCUUGGCCUUGGUGUCCUAGAUUUUGGUUGUUUGGUGUCUUACAGUACCAAGUGCUUGAACUUAGGAACUAUAAUGCAUUAAGUUAUAGAAUUAUUUGGACUAUGAUUAUGUUAUAGAAUUACAAUCUCACUGAUUCCACCACUCUAAGAGAGUAUUAGUAUUACGCGUUCCAACUCAUAAGGACAUAUCGCCUUUCAAUCCCCAUAUACUUUUCUGUUUGUAACAGAGGAUCACUUGUUCAAGGACAGAACUUAAAACAAAGAUAAUUUGACCGAUGGUAGCUAUCUAAAUUUAUACAAAAUGAUAGUCGAUCUGUAAGCUUCAACUCAGACUUUAAAAAAGAACAAUUAUUCAUGUACUGAAAUCGCAAGUAAUACCUCUGCAACCAUAUCCAUGAAAAACUUCAUUCAAAAGCAAAAAUAGCUAAUUAGUUGCUUCUCGUGCUGUGAUUAAUUGAACACAAGGCUCUCAGGCAAGCAAAUGACAAUUGCUAUAAAGAAAAAAGCGCAAAAAAAAAAAUCCAUAGGUAUACCAGAAAUUAGACCACUAUUGCUUUCUAAUUUAAUUUAGAAGCUCAAAUCCUUGAAAUCCUUCAGGUGAAACAAGGCUCUCCGUGUACUUGACAACUGAACUGAACUCUUCGAAAUCUCCAACAUGAGGGGGUAAAGGUAAAAGAAGCUUCUUGACAUCUUUCUUUUUAUAGUCAUAAAAAAAGAUGAGUCCCUCAUCAUUUUUUGCUACAAAUUGCCCAGCACCCCGAUACAGACAUACCCAAUCUAUCUUCACAUCAGCCUCAAAAUUGAACUUCUUAGUCCAAGCCAUUUUGUCGUCACAGACAUUAUCCAACGUCCAUAGACUCAGAACUGAUCCAUUGACGGCCUCAAAAACCAUUGCAGCAGAACCUUCAAAGUCCAAAACAUUUGAUUUUGAAUGCUGCACGUGGUCGGGAGAGGGAUAGGGAUAUACUCCAAACACCUCUUUAUCCAUAUCAAAUGAUAUUAAUUCAUCAGUGCUGUUAAAGUAUAUGUUAAAGUAGUACUUGUACUGUAGCAACCUUGGCCUCCAAGUUCUUCACUGUAGCAACACUGCUUUAGUACUGUAGCAACCGUAGGCUGCAAGGUAGUUUGCUCUAUUUAAGUAGUUCAUUUCCUUUGUAAUAACCAAGCUGAACACUCCAUAUCAAUAUACAAGAGUCAUAGUUUGUUCUUCUCUUAACAUUGAUGUUCAGUUUCACCAUCUAUAUGCUCACAUUGCUUAUACAAUAUAUGUAACCAAUCUUCGGUUAUCUAUAUACAUACACAAGCAGAGCAUCCCCGUGUCCGAUUUCUACAUGGUAUCAGAGCUAUAGGCUCCUGAUCUUCUCUGUUCCGCUGUCACCAAAAUCAAGCUGACAAAACACACUUGAAGUUUGGCCGGCAGUUUCUUUGCAAGCUUUGGCUGAGAACUCCGGCAGGUACUUCGUAUUUUGUCCGGCUGUAAUUAUUUACACCACUGAAUCAUUCCAUCAUCCUUCCUGAUUUCCCCCACUCAUCUGGUGUCACCAGCUCUUUGUGACAUUAAAUCAAACACCUUGUGUGCCGAAUCAGAAAGGUGCAUAAUCAUCACCUUUUCCACACCCAUAUCAGCCACAAUACACAAAACAACGAAUAUCACUUAUUCGAUUUCAUCGAUAUCUCACCCACUACCGAGUUAGCUCACCCAGUCAACUCACUCAUUCUCCUCCGGCCAGACGCCAUUUCUGUCCGGCGAACCCCAUCCUUGCAAGUCUCACCGCUAUUUUUAUCUCUGCCUUUUUUUUCUUUGCACGCUGCUGCAUAUUAUUAGGGCUUCAGACAUAUAUUUUGUUCUGGGCUAGCACCAAAAGAAACCUUGUUUAGUUUUAUUUGGGCCACACCAAUUCAGCCCAAGUAAAAUAUACGAGCAGGUUUUCUUGUUUUCUAGCAAAACAUUCAAUUUAGUACAUGAUCUUUUUCAAAUAUUCUAAGUUGAACCUUGUUGUUUUCCUUAGCUUAUUUCUAAGCCCCUGUACUUCUAAAUUUUUCCAAUCAAGUUCCUGAAGUUUACAAGUUUUUCACUCAAGUCCUUUCACUUGCGAAGAUGGAAAGAGAAAAUAGUUCCUCGAUUCAAACAAUCUUAAUUGGCUCGAACUAUUUAUCUUGGUCUCAAGCUAUGCGUAGCUUUCUGAAGGGAAAACGUCUUUGGAGGUACGUUAAUGGGGAUUUCACUGUUCCUACGAAAGAGAAAGAUGAAUCUGAUUCACAUUUGAAAGAUCGUAUUGAGGAAUGGGAUGUCAAAAAUCAUCAAGCUAUUACAUAUUUUAGAAACUCUGUUGUUUCUAAAAUUAAUUUACAGUUUGGAAACUUUGACACCGCAAAAGAAAUUUGGGAUUUGUUGGAAUCUCGAUACACUACAUCUGAUCUUUCCCAUCAAUAUCAGAUCAUUUGUUCUCUCAGUAAGCAGAAACAGGAGUCCGGUCAAUCAGUUGCUGAGUUUCUGUCACAGUUACAAUCACUUUGGGAUCAGUUGGCAUUGUCUGAACCAAAGUGGUUACACACAGAGGAUGGAACACUCUAUCAUGCAUACCGUGACCAACAACGACUCAUCAAGUUUCUAAUGGCUCUGACACAGGAUUUUGAACCUGUUAGAGCUGCUUUGCUUCAUCGUGUACCACUGCCUUCUUUGGAGAGUGCUGUUGCUGAACUCAUUUCGGAAGAAACUCGACUCGACAUCGGGAAAGGUAGUAUUGUGGAAGACAUGGUCCUAGCGACACCUUCACCAUCCACCUCCACAUUUGAUACACCAUUUUGUAAAUUUUGUCGACAAAAUGGACAUUUUAUCAAGGAGUGUGUAACACUUCGCAAUCAUACCUGCCAAAACUGUCAUCAAAAGGGUCAUUCGGCACAAUUUUGUAAAAAGCCAUCUUCUGGGUCAAACAAGCUCUCCCAUCCUUCCGUUGAUGUAACCUCGGAUUCUACACCGCCAACUGCAUCAACUAGUGAGCUUGAAUCUUUGCUCAAACAGGUUUUAUCUAAAAUUGAUUCUUCUUCCACCGCAUUCACUGUCACUUCGGGUUCUUCAGACAUGACAUGCUCUUGGGACAAACCGUGAAUACGGAAGAUUGAUUGUCAAGAAGCUUUCAAGAGACACAAUUCUUCUACAUUGUGUCUCAACUAUAAAAGCUUAACCUCCUGCCACUUUCAGUGAUUUUGUUUACAAACUCAAGUUGGUUCUUCAACCAUCUCAAGUUUGAGGGGGGGUGUUAAAGUAUAUGUUAAAGUAGUACUUGUACUGUAGCAACCUUGGCCUCCAAGUUCUUCACUGUAGCAACACUGCUUUAGUACUGUAGCAACCGUAGGCUGCAAGGUAGUUUGCUCUAUUUAAGUAGUUCAUUUCCUUUGUAAUAACCAAGCUGAACACUCCAUAUCAAUAUACAAGAGUCAUAGUUUGUUCUUCUCUUAACAUUGAUGUUCAGUUUCACCAUCUAUAUGCUCACAUUGCUUAUACAAUAUAUGUAACCAAUCUUCGGUUAUCUAUAUACAUACACAAGCAGAGCAUCCCCGUGUCCGAUUUCUACAAGUGCCUUCAAAAUAUAAUACCCCGGUUUUGAGAUCAUGAACACAUUUUGAAUUUGUGCAAAGCACUAUAUUCUUUAGACUUUCAGGGACAUUGAUCUCCUUAAAAUUUCCAGUUUUCGAAGAAUACAAUUCUGCUAUUAGCUCAUGAGCAUAUUCAUAUAACACAAAUGUAAGCCUAAGAAGCUUGUAGUCAUUACAAGUAGAAUCAUAACCAAACACGAAGUCACUUAUUUCCCAAUCUUCUUCUCGUACUCUCGGGGCAGCUGAAAGUUCUUUCCACUGCUUGGUCGCCGGAUUCCAUAAGUACAUAACAUGAAUAUCAAUAUCAAACUCACUGUCCGCAAGACAAACAAGACCACUACAAGAAGAUAUGCAAUCAAACCUACCCUUGCUUGGAAGAUUGAGCCUGACAGAUUCUUCGAGAGUAUCAAGCUGAUAGACACGGUUAAAAUCUUUAUCAAGGAUUAAGGGGGCUGGUUUUUUCUGAGAAUUGGUGAGGUGAGUAUUGAUAAAUUGUUGGUCCGAUAUUAUGGAUAGCCAUGACUUGCAAACUGAACGGAACCGGAGCAGUGAUUUCACGGGUAAAUAUGAAAGUAUUUCGAAGAUAAGUUCUUGAGGGAAGUGAUAACUACAACUUGAUGCCAUUGAUCAGGCCAAAUCUGAAGCUUGGAAGAACCGUAGACUUUAUAAACCCUAAUAUUAAUAUAAGCAAACAAGGAUGUAUCCUAAAAUAGUGAUAUAACGAAAAGGAUUCACGUAUACUUAUACGUAGAUUUUAACUUUGAAUUCUUAUUAACAACGAUAAUCAGUUAGAUAUCCUUGUCAAUGAGAAACUUAUUAUUAUAUAUUUAUAUAAAUAAGCGUAAGAGAGAAUUUGGUCGCAUGGUAAGUUUAUCAUCCGUUGGAUCCUACGUUGGAUCGUAUAUUGAACAAAUAAGCAACGUGAGAUUAGAACAAAAUUAACUUUUAAUCUUAUGAGGCAACUGAUAUCUACUUUACAUGUUUAUAAUUCCUUUUCUGAAUCCAAAACAAAUUUUGUCUUUCACAUGUUUAUGAUUUUUUUAAUCCAAAAUAAGUAUUUUCUACCAGCUUUAAUUGUAGAAUCAUAUAACUCGCAGCGUCACAAAAUUAUUUUUAUCUAAUAUAUUUUAAAAUUAAUAAGUCGGAUAUUUUAAUCUAAAAUAAAUAUUUCCCACCAGUUUUAAUUGUAGAAUCAUAUAAAUCGCUCCAUCACAAAAUUAUUUUUAUCUAAUAUAUUUUAAAAUUAGUAAGCCAAAUUUAAAUCAUACUAUAAUAAUUCUAAUAUAAAAUACAUUUAUAAAUAUAAUCUAAUGGAAGUCGACGUCACAUAUUCUACUCAAUAUAUAUUAAAAUUUGAUAGAAAAAAUUUAAUACCUUGGCAUGAUACAUAAGAGAAAAGGAAUGUCUUGAUUACAAUAGUUUAUUUGAAGCCAUUAAUGGAUGUGACGGUGUAUUUUAUACUGCAUCGCCACGGUCGGAUGAUCCAACAUGUGUGACCAGUUGUUUUUUUUUUUUUUUACAGAAACAAGUCUGAAAAGUAGAAUCUAUAUAUUUUUACAAUAAUUCUGACUUACAAACAAAUUAUAAUUUCAAAUUUUAUUUAAUUGAAAAUGCGAUUUAUAAUACCUCUAAUUUUAUCGUUUAUAUUUUAAAUUCAAUUAAUAUACAAAUCUAUUGUAUUAAUUUUUUUAAAUAUUUUAACUUAAUUGGUAAUAAGAAAAUUGAUUCGAACACGUUUACCGACCGGCUGAUAAAACUUGACCGACUAAUAAUAUUAAUAAUAUUUCACUUUUAAGUAAUAUAUGAAAUUUAUUAUAAGAAUUAUAUUUUAUUUGUGAAACUGUUUUAUUUGUAAACAUUAAAUUCUAUAUUUUAUAUUAAAACAUUACAUAUAAAUAAUUUUUAUUAUUAAAUUUUGACCUUUCAUCAAAUAAUAAGAUUUAAGAGUUUUAAUAUUCUGCAGUACUAAAAAUUAAUUUUAUAAUAAUUAAUAUUUUCUGAAACUAUUAUUUACACAUCCCAUGAUCCCAAUCUAGUUUAUUAUGUAUACAUUAAUCUAAUUUCAAAAAAAAAGUAUAAAUUAAAAUAAAUUUUAGUUUUGGUAAAUAAGUACAUGAGUCGGUUUGGGCCGCUGAACAAGUUGGACAUGGCCCACAAACAGUGUUUCAAUUGCAAUGAAAUUGGGGUCAAAUGGGCUGGACCAUAAUCUCUUGAAACCCAAAGUAUGAUUAACAGUUUAACAAUAUUGAGAUUCCAUAUUUUCAUGGAACUUACUUGCCUCCUAAAUGAGUUAACUUAUUCUUUUUAUUUACCCAUUGCUUCAGAUAUUUAUUUUCUCGUGAANGACAGCACAAACAGUUUAACAAUAUUGAGAUUCCAUAUUUUCAUGGAACUUACUUGCCUCCUAAAUGAGUUAACUUAUUCUUUUUAUUUACCCAUUGCUUCAGAUAUUUAUUUUCUCGUGAAAUGCUGAAGUAUAGAUAGUUAAUAUUUGUUAGAGCAAGUCCAGUGUCCUAGUUGAAACCCUAAAUAUAAUAUAAAAAAUUAUGUUCUAGUAGUUUAGGAUAUAUUCUACUAACUUCAACUUCAACAAUGUGUCUUAUUUUAUUGUUAAAAGUCACUUUCAUCAUUAAAAUAUAAUAAUAUAAUAUAAAAUAGAGAGAGAAAGAGAGUGUUAGUAAGAAUUUAUUAUAAAAUAUGAGAUAGGGCCAAGAGAGAGCCUCAAAAAUAGGGUUUGAAUGGGUUGUCCUAGUGAUACAGGGCAUCAUUAGGACAUUGUUGGAUCAAAUUUUUUCAUCAAACCCUGUAUUAUGACUUAGGACACUAAAUAGGACAGCUGUUGGACUUGCUCUUAAUCCGGUAAUUUGUGCUUGAUGGGUUGUUCUUAUUAGCUCAAAGUUUUGAAAUUUAAGAAUUUUAAGCAAGUCCUUUGCUUGUUGCAAGUCAGGUAGGGUCUGAACUCUAAAUUCUUUUAGCCUGUGGAAUUUGUUGGUAAUAGAGAGAGAGGGAGGGAGAGGGAGAGAGGAGGGAGAGGGAGAGAGAGGGAGAGGGAGGGAGGGAGAGAGAGAGGAGGGAGAGAGAGAGAGAGAGAGAGAGAGAGAGAGAGAGGGGUGAGAGAGAAAUGGAGAGAAAGAGAGAGACCUACUUGCCCUUCUGGAACUCUUAAAAGAGAUGAGAAGUGAAGUUUGAAGGAGGGAAGGGAGGAGUUGAACUUGACCCAUUUGGGUAUCUUGAGAUAAUGAGAUUCCUUUAAUUAAUUAGUAGCCCUCUGGAUAUUAAUAGAGAUGAGAAGUGAAGUUUGGAGAGGGGGUUUAGGGUUGAGUUACAUAGUGUCGGUUGCAAUUAUUUGGAUUGCUUCUAGUUUUGUAGUUCAAUCAGUUGUUGAUUCUGGGGUUUCGCCAUUUCUUAUUACCUAUACAUGUAAUUCAUUGUUUGUGGUUUAUUUACCCCUAGUGGAAAUUGGACGGUGUUUGAAAGAUAUGUAUGGUAGCUUAGUUUUCUGGAGAAAAGAUGGUAGUUUGCUCAAGCGGCAAGGGUCUGAAGAGGCUGUUCUUCUUAGCGGAAGUGAUAGUAAUUAUCAAGUUGAGAGUUUGAAUCAAGACGAGGUUGAAGAGAAAUCAGAACCUUUUAAUUGCGAUGGUAUUGUGGUAGGGACAUUAGAAUCGGAUCAAACUGAUACAUAUGAAAAUGUUGAUGAUGGUCUGGAUGAGAGAGGACGGUGGACUCGGAUUAGGGUGGCAAAAGUCAGCCUGUUAAUAUGCCCAUUUUGGUUUCUCGCACAACUUACAUUCAAUUUUUCCCUAAAAUAUACUACAGUCACGGUAAGUAUUUUAAAAUUGUAUUGUUCUAAUAUACUUUUUGCUUAAUCUCUUCAGGGAUGUUAACAAUUUAAUCCUUGUCUACAGUCUAACACCAUCCUAAGCAGUGCUUCAAGUCUUUUCACGUUCCUUGUCUCUCUGGCGUUUUUGGGUGAGACAUUCACUUUGGUAAAGCUGAUUAGCGUCCUUCUUUGCAUGGGAGGAACAAUUAUUGUUAGUUUGGGAGACUCAGAAUCAGGAUUGAGAGAUGUUGCCUCAAACCCUCUUCUUGGGGAUAUCCUUGCUCUUAUAUCUGCUGCAUUAUAUUCUGUGUAUAUUACACUUAUUCGUAAGCAUAUACCUGACGAUGACGUUGGAAAUUACGGACAUGUUAGUAUGGCACAAGUCCUUGGAUUUCUUGGGCUGUUCAACCUUUUGAUUUUUCUUCCUGUUGCACUGGUACUUAAUUUCACCAAGUUGGAGCCUUUUAGUAUGCUCACAUGGAAGCAGUUUGGCCUGAUUGUCGGAAAAGGUAUGUUUCCCUAGUAGCCUUGUCGUGUAUAAAUAAAAUUCCUACUCAUUUUGGUCCUGGUCAAAUAAUAAUCUUUAUAUUGAAAAUCGUGGUUGUAGAUGUUAUAUUCAAUUGAGGCAUGUUGUGUGGUAAAAGUGAGCCAAUUAUCUUGCCAUCAUGCAGUUUAGUUUAGUACUUCACAUAUAAGAUUGUGCAACCAGACUUAUCACAUUGGUGACUUACCACUUAUCACAUUGGUUUUUGGUCACCUCUUUCAUUUCUCAUCUCCCUCUUUCUUACUCCCUAUAAAUGUAGACUCUUUUAUGAUUUAUCAUGUGGAAUUUCCAUGGACAUCUUACAGAACCGAAGUGUCAAAAUGGUUGCCUUUGCAUAAAGAUUGUGGCAAAGGUUUUCCUGGAAGAAUAAGAGGAUAAUUUAAGCAGCAGGACCCAAACUUCGACCUUCUAGAUCGUAGGCAAACCUCGUUAAAGUCUAAGCUGUAUGCCUAAUAUUUGUCUAUUGUUUGGUAGAAACAGAUGAAACACUGGAAGUGGCAAUAACAUGUUUUCGCCCCAUGAAUAUUUGAAAUAGAAAACUCUAUAAUCCAAAUCUUCAUGUCAUUGCUACUCCUUCAACAACUACUUGCUCCGACUUAAUUACAGGAUAAGAUGCGACGAUUGACAUGCACAUGAAGUUCAUACUUCUUUUGUUUGUGUUCUGUUUGUAUAGUUUUAUAUAAAUUAUUUGAUUUGUGAAGUAAAGUCAUUUCAUUUCAUUAGGUUUGAUAGACAAUGUUUUAAGCGAUUACCUAUGGGCCAAGGCUGUUCUUCUCACGACGACAACAGUAGCAACAGCAGGACUCACAAUUCAAGUUCCUUUAGCUGCUCUUGUUGAUUCAGUGACAGGAAAUGCACCGCAUGCUAUGGAUUAUGUAGGGGCUGCUGCUGUCUUGGUCGGUUUUGUGGGCAUUAACAUCCCGUCAGACACAUUCUCAAGAUCCCCAGUAUCACUUGAAUAAUGCUUAUUACUCGUCUACUAAUCAAGAACACCUUGAAGAAAAUCUACAAAGCAUUCGUCAAUUCUGUUGAAUUUGUAUUAUUGCAGGAAUUUUUGCCCGUUCUGUUUUAUCUUUCUAUCAAAUUUUCUGCAAAUGUACUUGAUGUAUUCACAUCCUCAAUGUAUAUAUUAAUCCAAAGAUCACAAAUUACUGAACAAUAAAUCUUGAUCAUUGUAAGAGCCUAUUUGAUUGGAAUUAAAAUUAUGAUUAAUGUUUUAUCACGAUUUUUCGUGGUAAGUGUGUAGUUCUAAUUAUCUGUGUAUAUGACUUUUAUUAUAAUUUUUAUUUUAAGUAUUUAUGACUUGAUAAAAAUAAAUUUGACAAGUAUUUGUGAUGAAAUUAAAUUUUAUUAAAAAAGAAUUUAUAAAAUAUAAGUUUUUUGAAAAAUAUAUCUCUUACCGAAACUUUUAGUCAAUUUAAAGAUUUUUUUUUGAACUUUAAAUCAGCUUCUUACUUAAAGUCUAAACCGUCCUAAAACCAGGAUCAUCAAAAAAAACAACAAAUUCAAAUAUGUUUACGAGCUUAACAAAUUCAAAUAUUUUACGAACUCAAUUCAAAUAUUCAAAUAUUUGACUUAAGUAGGUCACAUAAGAUUUGGCUUAUUACGUCUAAAUGUGAAAUCAAAUUCAAUUUCAAAUCAAAAUGAAUAGAAAACACCAGCGACUAGCCAACACUUUAGUACCUAGAAAAUGUCAUUUAAAGAUGAGGCAUACAAUUCGAUACUUAAUCAUUGAAUAAUAGUUUAUAGCCAUGGACAACAGCUAUAAUAUAAAUGUGAGCGGUUCAUCUUUCGCUAGUUGAAAGAGCUGACCCAAUAUUUCUAACAAUAAUAAGUAGCACAUAAUCACAAAUUCCAUUAUGGUGACAAGAUUAAUCAAGAAUGGGACUAGCUCUGCACAGAGUUGGUGCUUCCAUAUCUUUGCAUCACCCGCUUAGUUGCGAGUGCUGCAGCCUCACUGGCACGCAAGGUUCCACUCGCCAUGAUUGCAGCAAAUUCAUUGGUGAUCUCUUCUUGCACCUUGCUCCUUGCGUCCCCGAGAGGAUCUGCUGGCUUAGCCCUGGUCGAUGCUGCACUUGUAUUAGGUGCUCCAGACUUGACAGGUUUCUCUUCUACCUUUGGUUUAGUCACCUCUGGUUUUUUCUCUUCUUUUUUCACUCCACUGGAUGCAACAUUGUUGGCUGGUGUUGACAGUAUAGGUUGCUGAAACUGGGGGGCUUGGGGCACCGCACCAGCUUUCAUAGUUGUCUCUAGUCUUUCUAUCAUAGGCACUGCACAGAAAUUUCAAGGUUAUUGUUAGCAAUGGAAAUAUUCCCUGCCUCUCGAACUUAAGCUUCUACAGUCUACCCUCUUUCAGGAGAAAACAAGUAGCUCAACUUCUCAUGAAACGUCUAACAUAAAUUAUGGGCUUUUUAUACAGUAUUAGCAAUCAAGCGUUAUAAAUUGAGCUUUAAAUGUCACACCACUAUGUUCAACAGAUGAUGAAAUUGAAGGGUAAUUGCAGGAUUCCUGUCAAGUCAGACUUAGUCAUCAACAUCAUUUCUUGCAUACUUUAGAUUCGUGUUUCAUUUCUUGCAUACUUUAGAGUUUCGUGUUUCUUAAAAUGCUCAUCAUCUAGAUGCAUAGUAAAAUAAAGACUACCAUCCAAUGUACCAGCAGUUAAAAACUUACAUAUGAGAGCAGCCAUAGGACUGCUUGUGACUUCAUUAGGAAGAUUCAGGAUGUAUUCUGGAAUAGUAGCCCCCGCCAGAAAUUGUGCAACCUCAUUGCUGAAAUUGUUGCAGUUGUGUUUGAGCAAACUAUAUGACUCCGCCGUAUACCGGGGGCUGAUCUCUUCCAGAUACAUUUCAAAUACAUCUUUGGGGACAUGAGUGACACCAAUAUCAACCACUCGGAUCGGUGUCCCAUAUGGUGUAGUUCCAACAGGUGCAUGCUGCACACCACCGCUGAAGUAGUAUUCGGUGCCAUAAACCACUAUUCCUGUAUGCCUGUAAAAAGAAGCUUACAACACUUAUAAUAAGCCCAUCAAGCAAAUCUAAAAAUAAUUGUUCAAUGACUUCUUGCAGAAAUAUUAGGUUCCGCUAAAAUUAAGGAGCCUAAUAUUGGUUCACAGUUUGCACCCUAAAUCGAUAAAUUAUACACCAUGGUCCAUCUUAAAACACAAAUCAACAAAUUAUGCAUUCAGAAUCAAGGAGUUUUUUAAGAUACCAAAGUGUCAGAGGUCCUUUACUGAUGGCAUAAUAAGCAAUUUUGCUAAAAUUUCAUGAAAAUAAAAAUCCGAGCAGACACAGGAGAAAAACAGGGAAACCAUCAGACACUUACCAAAUGCCUUCGAUAGUUUUCCCCAAGAAUGCCAUUGACAAAUUCCUGGCCAUUCCUUGACUCAAGUCAUAAACGUUCAAGCUGACCUUGUGACCUUCCUGAAACCAGUAAGAAAAUACAAUUGAAUGUAUACUAAUAAGCUACAACAAUUUAUUAACACAAACACAAUGUGAACAAGACCAUGAUAUAUAUGUACUGCACCAGAAAAUUAUGCGAUAGAACUUACCUCAGCCAUCCUUAAUAUAUAAAUAUGCAACUGCUAGUCUGCCCUCUGUAAACUCUGUAAUGUAUCUGAGGUAAAAUUAAAGAAAAACCGCAUCAGAUCCACAUAUAUUUGGACACAAAGUGGGAUGUUCAUAGCCUAGAACAUGACCUAUAAGAAAUUCUUUAAAACCACACAUUCGGGUUACGCAAUCAUAGAAGUACAGAAACUACAACUACUUAAGUACAGAAACUAUAGAGUAUAAUCUUAUAAAGAAUGCAUCACUAUACCAUUUAAGUACAUAAACUACAACUACUUAAGUACAAAAACUACAUAAUCUUACAAAAAAUGCAUCACUACACCACAAAUUACAGUCAUCAAUUACCAGGGUGACAACAUUCGACAGAAUUCCAUGACUACGCAAGUGCCUGAACUAAUCCUACAAUCACUACUCUAAACAACAUUGCUACAAACUCAAGAUAUAGUUGCAUAAUGUACAUAUGUACCCAAUAUACAACGAGGUAUUUAAAUUAAUAGCCAAGAUCAAAAUCUUUAUACAACAACAUUGACAACACAACACAUCACAUAGAAAAAACCUCAAAACAAAGUCAAAAAAGCCCUAAUUAUCAAGAAUUCACCAUCAAGAUUCAAUCUCUACACUAAAUAAAGCAUACCCACAAAUCAAAACAUGAAUUCACGGUAAACCCACUACUAAAAUCAAGAAAAUAAUCAUAAAGUCCAAUCUUUACACAUAAAACAUAAAAAAAAACUCAAAUUUUCAAAAAUUAAAUAUAAAUUUACAGCUAAAGAUCAUAGAUUGCAUACCUCAAGAACUAAAAUGGGUGCUUAAAUUGGUCAGCGGAGAAAACAAAGAAUCAAUGUGCUUAAAUUUGUAUGUAUAUGUUGUAUGUAUAGGCGUGUGAGUAUAUAUAGACCUGGGCUGAAAGAGCUUGGAGGGUGGAAGACUUGGGCCGCAGCUCUUCUAUGACUUUCUAGAAUGUGCCAUCCAAUAGGAUUUUGACACGUGGACAUGUGCGAAUUGUUAAUUAGUUUCUAGUUGGCUGGUCUGAAUUUUAUAUUUUUUGAGACUUGAGGAAAAAGAUUUGAAUUUAUGAGUAGUUUGAGGACUAUUUUGAGAAAUUAUCGAGAAAUGGGUAAAUUGCUAGUAAUUGCUAGUUAUAUGGCUUAUUUUGUAUUUUUUUUUUAUAUGUCACUUUUAACUUAAGCACAUAUGUGGGCUGAUCGGAUAAUAAAUAUUAUUAUUUUUAGUUGUAAUUUUUUGUGUAUUAAAAUUUUGAUUACAUAUUUUUAUUCAAAAAAAGAAAAUUUCAAAUAUAGUACUUUAACUACAUGGUCAAAACACUUAAAAGCGUGUGUCAAAAAAUCAAAUGUUAGAUAUUAAAAAACAGAGCGAGUAGUAAAUAUCAAAUAUAUCAAGAUUUAUUUAUAAAUAAAAAUAGUUAUAAAAUAAUUAAUUUUGAUUAUUCAAUCGAUAAAUUAAUCAACUAAACCUCGUUGAGUCUUUUCCGAGGAGUACUCAUUUUUUACUAAACUCAUGCACAGGUAUUGUUGUUAUUGAAAAUUUAUAAGAUUGUAUAUUUUUUAUAUAGUUAAUAAAAUGAAAUAAUAAAAUUUUAAUUAAUUUUCUAUACUAUUGAACUGUAUUCGAAUAUAGUUUAGUAUUUUAAAAGAAUUUAGGAGUUGGAGUUAUUAUAAUUUGUUGUAUUUUGAACCGUACUGGAAAAUGCGAACAAGGGGUGAUUGAGAUAUUAUUAUGCGCUCUAUUAAUUAUAUAGUUGAUUUUGUAUUCACUUGAAGAAUGGAAUAAAGACGUAAUGUAAUAAAAUAUUCAUGAACUAUAUUUGCGGAGAAAAGAAAGUGAGGAUUGAGGAGAGAAUCAUGAAAAAAUAUAAAGAUAAUCUUUUUAAGAAAAAAAGAAAGAAAUAUAUCGUGAAUGGAACAUGUUUUUAAAAUUUGUUAGUAUUUGGUUAAAUUUUUAGUGUAAAAUGUCUUGAAACGUAUGUUACAAGAGCAAGUAUAAUAGAUUAGCUAUUAACUUUCUAGAUUUAAAUUUUAGAAAUUUGAUACAAAAUGAUGGUCCUAUUUUACUAUAUCUUCCCCAUAUGACUAUCUAAAUUCAUACUUAAGAAAUUUGCUGAAAUUAAAAUCCCGUUAAUCUAGAAAUUAGAAAUUAUUUUAUUAACUUAUUUUACUAUGUCCUCACCAUCUAGAUAAUAUCAUCAUGAUGUCAUCUUAAUAUUAACCCCUAUUCAUCAUGAUAUCACCCCACUCUAAAGUCGAAAUCACUAAACCUAUUUUUUAUAUAAAAGAAAAAUCAAAUCUAUUUAUUUAGAAAAAAAAAAAUCAAAUCUAUUCUAAAUUAGGGUUCAUUGUUAAAAACUGAAUGAGAGAUUUUGGUGGUUUAUUGAGGACAGGUCUUGUUAAGACUGUUUAAUUUUAUUUUGUUUGAAAAAGGUCUUCAAAAAUUUGUUUGGACGAUACAACCUGACAUUUCUUCUCCAACUCAUGUGUUUUGCUAGAUUGAAUUUGUUUCUACACUUGAACAUAUGAUUUGUUGUUGAUAUCACAUACUUUAUAAAUCGCGGCUAAAAAAAUAAUAAGCAAUUCCAUGUUGAUAUGUUGAAUACUCAUAUUAAUCAAAAAAAUUAUUUACAUAUAAAUCUAACAAUAAAAAUAAUAUAAUACAGUUAAUCAAAUAAAAAAACGUAAUGAAAAAAUUACAAGUGAAAUUACAUUAUUAUUAUUAUUAUUUAUAAUUAAAAAAAGAAUAUGGUCCAGUUUAGUAACACGGAAGAGAAUAGUAAUGUAUAAAAAAAAAUGGUUGCCGCCAUGAUCAUGUAGCGAAAAAUAUUUUGUGCUAAUAUUACUCAUCAGAGAUAUUGAUAAUUACUUAUUAUCCAACUAAAUCAAAAAGUUUUUAACAAACAAAAUCAUUCAUCCAAAAAUUAAGAGACUGAUCAUCCAGAAGUUCCAACGAUAAUUGUUCAGAUUUAACAAACGACUCCUUAGUCUCUAUUAGAAUAAGUCAAAAUAUAAUAUCACCAUCCAUCAAAAAAUUAGAAAUUGUUUUACAAAUUACAAAAUGUCUCCCCAUCUUGCACAAUUACCGCCAUAAAAUUAUAAUUUGACCCCCUUUUUCUACGCAAUGCCCAUCCAUUAUCAUUGCAUCAUUCAUUUCUCAUAUAUCUCACUUGGACGCAUAUUGUACCGUCAUUUUCCUUCAUUAUAUGCAAAUUGAUCAUUGGAAUAUAAAAGAACAUAUAUAAAGUCAUGUAUCAAAAAAUGCAUCAAUUGACAAGAAAAAUCAAAUUGAAAACGGAAGGGAUUAUGUAAGAUAAUGUGUAGUAGGUUAUAUUUUAAUUACGUUUGAUGACGUAUAGGGAUCAUUAAAUUAAAUUCAUUUAAUGGUCAGGAUUAAGUAUGUAUUUUGUAGUUUUUAUUCUAAUUUGAUUUGAUUUGUAUCGAGCAAAUACAUACAUACGUACACACACGUACAUACAUACAUACAUAUACACACAAACACACACACGUAUGUGUUUUAAAAUAGAUUUAAAUAUGAUGAGUUCAAAAAUUAUGCGUAAAUUAUAAUAUUAAAAUAUAUUUUAAAUUGAAAAUUGUUGACCCAUUAAAUAUAUUUUAAAACAAAACAUCCAUUAAUUAAUUGAUCAAAAUAUCAAUUGUUUGACCAAUCGACUAACUAAGAUAUAAUAUUGUGUUUUCAAUUAGUAUAUUAUCAGCGAGCUCUUAUAAAUUUCUUGUGACGAUAUUAAUAUUUAUUAACUAAUCUCAUUAUUAAGUAUAUUUAGGUAUACAUGAUCUAAUAAUAACUUCAUAGAUUUUGAAGAUCCAUCUCGAUCAUGAAAACAUGAAAGAAAACCCUUUCAAUUUUUAAAAAUAUUUUUUAUUCGAGAUACAAAGUCAAUCUUUACCAAUUAUGACAUGUCUUACUUUUUUUCUAGUUUCUGCUAUAUCAAAAAAAAAAAUGAUAUACAUCAACUAAACAUAAUAAAAAAAUCAUGCGAUACUCGAAUUCGAAUAUGAGAGAAUUUCAAUCUAGUCAUGAAAAAUGUUUAAUUCUUUUUUUCACUAUUUAUCUGAAUUCAAGUAUUUUUUUUUUUUUUUAAAAUUUUGGAUUCUUUUUUUUUUUUUAUCAAANGCGAUACUCGAAUUCGAAUAUGAGAGAAUUUCAAUCUAGUCAUGAAAAAUGUUUAAUUCUUUUUUUCACUAUUUAUCUGAAUUCAAGUAUUUUUUUUUUUUUUUAAAAUUUUGGAUUCUUUUUUUUUUUUUAUCAAAAACAUAAGUUAACCUUUUCCCGCGAUUUGGACAAAUUUGAUUCCUUUUUAGUGGCCUCCACCUCCCUCGUUCCCGCCCCCGCCAAAAAAAUUAAGUGGACAAAUUUGAUGUAUGUAUAUAUGUAUGUAUUAUUUGAACCUAAUAAGAUAUCUCGAACUUUCUUUAUCAAUUAUGUGAUUCUCAAGUUUAAACACGAGAACUCGUCCACUCUUCAAGUAACUAACUAAUAGAGCAGAUGAUUAUGUGUUCAUUAUUGCCUAAAUUUAUAUAUAUAUAUAUAUAUAUUCAUCCUUUAUGAAGUUCUUGAUAGAUUCAAAACAUAAUUUUUUUUUAUGCAUGUAAAAGUUAGUCUUCUCUUUCAAUUGUGGUCUAUCUCGAUUCCUUUUUGGUUAUAAUUUAGAUUUGAUCUAUAACAACUGAUCAUUAUAGCAAAUUCGAAUCUCUCGUUAAAACAGAAGAAAUUUAUCAUCCAAGUCACGGAGCAUAUGAUUUCGCUAUUCAUUUGUUGACUAAAUGUAUGUCUGUAUUCAUCGUUUUCAUGUUCUUGACAGAUUUUUAAUAACUUUUUUAAUAUAUGUAAAAGUCAAUCCUCUUUUUAAAUAACAAUCAAUCUCGAUUCUUUUUUCAAUUAUAAUCAGAUUUGAUCAAUAACAGAUGGACAUCACAACAAAUUUGAGUUCCUCAUGAAUCAUAUGAUUUCUUUUAUCAGAAAAAUUCAUUUCUGAGUUAUCAAUGAUAUAAUAUUCUUUCGAUAAUCAUCAAAAUACAAAUAUAUUUACUCAUCAUUUCCGACAUCAAACUUUUCGACGGUCAUCAAAAUACAAGUAUAUUUACUCAUCAUUUCCGACAUCAAAUCAACUACUGAUUUUAAAGUCAAUCCUACUGCAUUCAACUUUCAAGCAAUUACACAAACCAUAUUCAGUCAAAAAACACAUAACCAUAACUUUCGGAUUUCACUAAUCCGGUAAAUAUCAUUGUAAAACAUACCAAAUACGCUUGAUCACAUACCUUAUUCACCCAAAAUGAUUUUACUUCUGAAAUCAGAUCUUACAAAACGGGCCUACAAUCAUAUUCUAACACACAACACCGCGUCCACGCUGGGCAAACCCGGAGCCCAAACUGCUGUUUCUGCUGUCCCCAGUAUAUUAUACACACACACUAUACAUACAGUCACAUACACAAGCUCUGUCAUACACCUUGAUAUUUUCUCCUCUUCGUCAAGCACUUCACUUCAACUCAAUUUCCCUUAAAAACCCAUUUUUCUCAACUUCAUGUAAGUUUAAUCUUGUUCUUGAUCAUGAUCAUGUGCAUUCUUUGUGUUAAUCUUGAUUAAUUUGGCUGUUGGUACUUUAAGCUUCAAGAUUGUUUUUUUUUUUUUGAUUUUUUUUUUGUGUGUGAAGAAUUUGAAUUAGUGAAAGAAUUGUGAGAAUUAUGUGGGUUUAAGAUGGUAAGAUUAUUUAUUUAUUUAUUUGGGUUUUUGGGUUUUGAGUUGAUUAAUUUGAUAAAGUUUUGAUUUUUAAUUGGUGGGGUUUUGCUGUGGAUUAGUGUUUUUGAUGGGGGAUCUUUGUUUGAUUGGAAAUGCAGGGUUUUGAUUGUUUGGGGUUUUUCAGGUGAAUUUUGUUGUAAAGAUUGAUUUUUUAUGCAGUUUGCAGGUUUUGAUUGGUAUCAGGACUGUAUUGACUUUUUUGGUGUUGGGAAUUGAAGCCAAUCAUGGCACAGAGUAAUUGGGAAGCUGAUAAGAUGUAUGCUCUCUGAUUUAUAUGUCUGAAUUCCCCCCCCCCCCCCCCCCCCCCCCCCCCUCUCCCUCCAUGUGUUGUGUGUGUGUGGUGGUUUGUAUGUGUAUCUGGUGUGUGUGUUGUGGUGUGUGGUGUCUUGGGAGUUGGGAGUGUGUGUAUGUGUUGUGUGUGUGUGUGAGCGAGAGAGAGAGAGAGAUGUAUGUAUAUGAAUUAUUUCAUGUGUGUUUGUUAAAAGUGGAUAUCUUGAUUUUUAAAGUGAUGGUUUUUGAUAUUUUUUUUGGUGUUUAGGCUUGAUGUUUAUAUAUACGAUUAUUUACUGAAAAGAAAACUACAUUCAUCGGCGAAAGCUUUUAUGGCCGAGGGGAAGGUUGCUAAUGACCCCGUAGGUAAUGCAUUUAGUGAUCGAAUUGAAUUUUUGUUGACUUUGUUUUUCUGAGUUGCUCCUGAAUAAUAAAUUUUAAUUAUGCAGCUAUCGAUGCGCCUGGGGGAUUUCUCUUUGAGUGGUGGUCUGUUUUCUGGGACAUUUUCAUUGCAAGAACUAAUGACAAGCAUUCGGAGGCUGCUGCGUCUUACAUUGAGGUGUUUACAGAUUCUGAAAUGAUAUUUUUGCCAUUGUUUUGGGAUAUUGUUAUACAAUUGAGUUAUUGGGAUUUUUUCUUAGAAAGGAAGGUGUAUUUUGAAUUUUUAUAUGAUUAACAUUGUGCUAUGUUUUGUGAUUUUGUUUAAUGACUUUUUAGACACAACAAAUCAAAGUAAGAGAGCACCAACAGCAGUUGCAACUUAUGCAGCAACGGAAUGCACAAUUGCAACGAAGGGAUCCUGGUCAUUCAUCCCUUGGGGGCCCAGUAAAUACUAUGAAUUCUGAAGGAAUGAUGGGACAACCAUCAGCCAGUGUCUUGGCUAUGAAAAUGUAUGAAGAGCGGAUGAAACAUCCUCAUUCGGUAGAUUCAGAAGCAUCACCUGCUCUAAUUGAUGCCAAUAAGAUGGCCCUGCUUAGAUCCGCAGCUAAUCACCAAGGGUAUAUUCUAUAAACUGUAUAUUGAUUAAGGAUAUAAAGGUUAAUAUAUUUGUUUCAUCGCGUUGUUUGUUAUUGAUUCAGCCAGUUGCUUCAAGGAAAUUCUGGGAACAUGUCUGGGUCUUUGCAGCAAAUGCGUCCCCAAAUGACCAAUGUAAGUAAUUAAAGUAUAUGCUCUUUCUAUCUAUGAUGAUAAUAUGCUUGCAGUAUUGCAAGUUUGUCUGUUUUUCUUGUUCAUUCACUUGUGACUAAUUGAUACUUUUAGGACAUGAAGACUGAAGUGAACUUGGGCAAUCAGAAAUCUUUGCCUUCACAAGCAUCAUCCAUAUAUGGACAAGCAAUCUUGCAGUCAAAGUCUGGUAUGCCAGGUGCGGGGAACACUACCAGAGCUAAUUUUUAUUAUAUGAGUUCCUUACCAAUUCUGCCAAAUAAAUAUUAUACUAUAUAAGAAGGAAUGUGUAAAUAUAUUCACUCAAUCACAUUGCUUUUUCUUCAGGAUUAAAUCAAGGAGUCACCGGUCUUCCACUGAAGGGUUGGCCUCUUACGGUGAGCCAUACAUAUUUUUGUUAAGUGCAGCAUUGUUUUAUUCUUUCACAAAAUAGCAUUAGCGUGUAUGCUUGACCAUUCGUUAUAAUUCAGGGAAUUGAUCAACUACGGCCGAAUUCAGGUCUACAAGUACAGCGGCCGAAUCUACAGAACCAGAAUCAAUUUCUCUUGGCGUCACCAAACCAACAGGCGUUAGCCCAAGCUCAGGCACAAGGGAGUCUUGGAAACUCACCUAACUACGGGUUUGGUGGAUUACCACGGGGUGGAUUAAAUGUAAAAGAUGCUCAGCAGGCAAGAAAUGAUGGAUCUAUAUGUUCACCAAAGGUUAAAAAACAAAAUGUUAUAGACAUCGCUAAGUAAUAUAAAUAUCGCAUCCACUGAUAGAUGCAAUGUGUGCAUUUUAUUACCCCUGUUUUUUUGUAAUGAGCUUUAAGAUCAACUGGUAGAUUGAAAGGUGCAUGCACACGGUGAUAUAAGUUGCAUAUGAAUUUUUUCAUAUUCAGAGGGAAAUUAACGGAUUGCUCAAAGCGUGUAUAUAUUAGCUUUUUUCCUUUUAUAUUCUUUUACCUGCGUAUACCAAUGCCUUCUGCAAUUUGAGCCUCAAUUUGAGCCUGAGACAUGUGAUAUGUCUGUCCCGUAUUUGCUGCUUAACUAUGUGCAUACACUGCUUCAACUUGUUUAGAAAACAUGCCAAGAAUGAGAGAAUCACUGCAUUGUAGUAGCUAAAUAUCUGAUUCAGUUUUUUAUGCAUCUCAGAUGAUGACUCAAAUGCAACAAUCAUCCUCUCAGCAUGACCAGUUAUCGCAACAGCAACUGCAACAGCAGGUUUGAUCUCUAUCCUAUAUCUCUAGAAGAAAUUUUAAGAGCCAUAAUUAAGAUGUACAUAUACUGGUAAAACUUUCCAGUCCCCUACCAUACAAGUUGUGAUGAGGCACAAUUUUCAACUAUGGCACUUGUAUGUUCUCCCCUCUGUUAUUUGCUUUUGUGGUAUAUCUGUUAACACUUUAAAUUGUUAUCACCGUGCAGAAUAAUAAUCGAAAAAGGAAACAACACUCGUCUUCUGGACCAGCUAAUAGUACUGGUACGGGAAAUACUGUAGGUCCUUCACCCAACUCCCCAGCAUCAACUCAUACACCUGGUGAUGGGGUUAAUACUGCUAGUAGUCUGCAGCAUGUAAGCAGUGGACAAAAAGGGUUGAUGAUGUAUGGUUCAGAAACAGCAGGUCUCACAUCACCUGCAAAUCAGUUGGUAGGUCCUAAUAUUUUUCACAGACAUACUCUUCAAUCUGUAUGCUGGUAUUAUUUUGCAUCUUAGAAAAUAUUACUUAUUUAAACUAUACCAAUGUUGAAUGAACUCCUAAAUUUACUGUUCUUUGCUUUCUUUAACUCAAUUAAUUGAUGAAAUAUGCAUUAUUUUCUUACUAUAUGUGUGCGCAUAGAGUAUCAAGCUUGUGAUGAUAUGUCCAAAAAAGGGUAAAGUUUAUGAACGACUUGAUACGAAACAUUGCCUUGAUGCACAAAGAACAUUUCAUAUCGCAGGAUGACUUGGAACAUUUUGGAGAUGUGGGAGACGUUGACUCCUUUUUGUCAAAUGAUGGUGAAGAUGGCCGAACUUUAUACGGCACGAUUAAACAAAAUCUUACUGAACAUAAGACAGAGUCUUCUAAAGGUAAUGUACCUUGUUGGUUAUGUUUUCUCAAAGUUCAGGGUUUUGCACAGAACUGUUGACUCUAUGACUUUCAUGGCCUAUAUAUCAGGAUUCUCUUUCGGAGAAGUUGGUUGUAUACGGACCAGAAAUAAAAUCACAUGCUGCCAUUUCUCUUCAGAUGGCAAGCUGUUAGCUAGUGCCGGANUAACCAAAAACACUGCAAUGUUUUAAACCAUAUUGUCUCUUCUUAUAACAGAGUAAUGGCGGACGAGAGUAUGUGUAUAUUAAUUAGUGCUGAUCAUUUGACAGGCUGUUAUUUGGAACAUGGAUACCUUGAAAACAGAGAGCACUCCUGAAGAGCAUACGAACUUGAUUUCAGAUGUUCGUUUCAGGCCUAAUUCAACUCAACUGCUGACAACUUCAUUUGACAAUUCUGUAAGAUUGUGGGAUGCAGCUAAUGUAAUUAUCUAAACUCAGUUGUGUAUACUUGUUUUUUAUUCUGAAUAGGACUCGGCCUUUGUACCGUGUGACUUAACGUUUUAGUAUAUCGCCUCUGACUUGUCCUUGCAGCCAAGCUACUGUCUGCAUGCUUAUACUGGGCACCCUUCUCAGGUCAUGUCCCUAGACUUUCAUCCAAAGAAGAAUGACAUGUUCUGUUUUUGUGAUGGUAACAAUGAAAUUCGUUACUGGAACAUUAAUCCAUUUACGUGUACUCGAGUUUCAAAGGUUUGUUCAUGAAACUUGUAUACCUUUUGUCUCCCAAACAAAUGUGAUUUUGUUAAAUUGUAACUUUUUAUCUUUCGUUGUCUAUAUAUUGCUCUUAUCAGCAAGGAGGUAGUUCACAAGUGAGAUUUCAACCAGUAAGUGGUCGCCUAUUAGCAGCAGCAUCAGAUAAAGUUGUGUCCCUCUUUGAUGUUGAAACUGACAUGCAAACACAUUCUUUCCAGGUCUGGCAUUUAAUGCUAUUUGUCAAGUGUUGCCAAAACUUCAUAUAUAUUGUUGGUUUGACCCUCUUGCAUAUCUUCUCAUGUGCUAAUCACAAAAUUGGGUUCCCACCCUUUUUUCUUAUCUUGGUGUCUUAUCAGGGACACAGCAGUGUGAUUAACUACCUAUGCUGGGAUCUAAAUGGUGAUUAUUUGGCUUCCGUUUGUGAAGAGUCUGUGAAAGUUUGGUCAUUGACCUCUGGCGAAUGCAUUCAUGAUUUUAGCUCAAACGGAAACCAGUUCCAUUCGUGUGCUUUUCAUCCAAGCUAUUCAGCUCUCUUGGUGAUUGGUGGAAUGACGGUAUUCAUCUGAUUGUCUUUGUUUCUUGACUUUGUUUUAAACAUUACACCAAGAUAUUUUGCUAUUAGUCCAGCAUUAUGGAUUAGUCUCUUGGAUAAUUAGGUUAUCGGGGGUUAUUUUUUUUCCCCAUACUUGUAUGAUCUGAAUUGCCAAGAACCUAGUUUAAACUUGCGAUGCUUCAAUCUGUGACUUGUUACUUCUAUUUUUGAAUUUGGAAAUAAGUGGACCAGUUAAAAUUGUCAAUAUUGGUACCUAAAGACAAUCGAUCAUUGUCUAGAUGUGUGACAAUUGACAUGUUGACCUUUAAAUACCACGAUAUAAUGUGUUUAAGUAUCAGUACUUUGCUAACACUAUAUUUUUGAACAUUCUGUGCAGUCCUUAGAGUUGUGGAAUAUGGCCGAGAACAAAAGAAUGACAGUGCCAGCACAUGAACAUAUGAUUGCUGCAUUAGCACAGUCCCCUGUUACAGGAAUGGUUGCUUCUGGAAGUCACGACAGUUCUGUGAAGUUAUGGAAAUAAUAUUUCUGGUAAAUUACACUGUUUGGAGCUGAGCAACGCUGGUAUCAACUGUAUUCUGAACCAUCAGAGCUGUCUCUUGAGGACAUUGUGUAAAAGUUUCUGAGUAUCUCUCUCAUAUUUAUAGAAUGUUUUGUUUUGUUGUGUCAAUGAUAGAAAUUAUACCUACAGCGUCAUUUUGGUUUAAAGAUAGCAGAUCGGAGAGGAACACUUAGUGAGCUCUCCGGAAGAUUAAGGAUUUUAGAUUCUUCUUAGCCAUCGAUAUUACAAUAACAGUAGAAAAGUAAUAGUACUGCUGAAUUUUAAUGCUAUAUUUCAUGUUGGAUAUUCAAUUUGUUUUUCUUGGUUAAAAAUGUUUUUUUUUUUUUUUUGUUUUAGUUGGGUAGAAUAUAGUAUAGUAACCUGUUUUUGAUUCCCGGUAUUUAUACAGAUACUGAUUACCCCAUCCCGCCAGGCGAGUGUUUUCUGUACACGAACUUGGGGGAUAAUGGCCUGCUACUGCAGACCCAUUGCAUUCUUUGCAAUCACAGCAUUAGUAUCGUUCGGUGAUGAUAAUCACAGCAUUAGUAUCGUUCGGUGAUGAUAGCUAUCAGUUGUUCAAAGAGCUGAGAUGUACCCAUGUACAUAUUCUUGAACCAAAAACGAUACUAAAGCGAAAAACUGAGAAUUUUAUUGUUCAAUCAGCAGAAUUAGUGCAUAUGAUUGUUCAAGAAAUGGCGUUCUUGAUACAAUCUGAUUACAUGACAUGCGGAAACGUGUGACAAAAUUAUUACAACCAAAUAAGCGCAACAGAGUUGCGUUGUGCUACUCUGGGAAAGAUUGUGCAGAUUCAUUUCUUGUACAACUCAACAACACCGUAUAAAUCUGCCCCGCAUAUAUACCUGGAGCUUGCAAACCCUGCUUCUUUUCCCAGCAUUUGAAAUUCUUUGGCAGUCCUCUCUUUUCCGCCAUGGGUUACAACCAUCAUUCGUAUAUCCACCUGAGACGUGUUCUUGGCAAUGACAUCAGUUUCCGGGAGCUCUGAAUGUAUCAUCUCUAUGAUAACCACUUUGCCGUAAUCUGGUAUGGCUUCAUAACACUUCUUCAAAAUCUUCACGCUUUCUUCGUCGGUCCAGUCAUGAAGUACCCUCUGCAUAAUUCACUCACUGAGAGCUAGGAAGUAGAAUUUGACUAGUUAGAACUUUAAACCAUUGCUUUGCACUUACCUGAAGCACCACAGCAUCUCCUUUAGGCACAGAUACAAACAUAUCUCCUCCGACAUGAUCAAUACCUGACAGAUUUAUAGAUUUAGAACGUAAUCUUAUAUGUCUCACUCGGAAGUAGGACGUCUGACACAUGCAUAAAAUGUACCUGGCAACUUAGGUGCAUCUUUAACCACAUGAGGCAAGUCGAAAUUGAUGCCCUUGACAUGAGGGUUCAGAGAAACAAUGCAACUUAGAGUUGCGCCAUGAGCACCCCCAACAUCCACCACUUGUUUCACUCCCUCGAAUCCUUUGUACAUCUUUAGAAGAAUGUCCAUGGAAGUAGCGAUAGAUUUAUCCAUUGCUUCGCUCAAGAGACUCGCGAGAUGUUUAUCUUUCUCUAGGUACUCAAACACAUUGGCUCCGUCAUGAGAUAGAUUAAACGGAAUCCCUCCAUCAAGGAUUGAAUCUUUGAGUUUAUACCUGCAAGACGUCGUAAAUCACUGUAAGGACUGAUUUAUGAAUAAAAUUAGGAGAGGAUUCGAACUAACCAACAAUUCUGCAUUUCUCUGUGAUGAAUGAAUUGAUGAUAAGGAACCAGACAAGGUCCAGCCACACCCUGAACAAAAUACCGAGAGAUCGGUGUCAGGCCAUAGGCCCUUGUCAGAAGAGCAUUGCCACUAUCCUUCACAAGCUUGCAUUUAACGAUAUCGUGGCUAGCCAGCAAGCGAAGCAUACGAUCAAGCAUUUCCGAGGCCUCAGGGUUCUUCGUGGGAAGGCUGGCAGCGAUUUCAUCAGGAUGCAGGUAGCCAUUGUAGCCAGCUUUCUGCGCAACAAUGUCAAAGACACUGAGCUCAAAGAGGGCACUUAAGACCCCGUGAACCGUCGAAGAAUUCACUAUCUGCAUUGCAGUCAAGAAGGCUUCUUGAUCAUGUGAUGCCAUGGCUCUGUUUUCUUGUCUUUGGUAAGUCCUUUGGAGGUGCUUAUUUAUAGAGUUAGAUCUCGAAUUGUUGCAUGGCCAGUUGAUGCAUUGUUGACAUUGAAUGUGGAAGAUUUUAAUAAUUUGAAACAGAUGAUUUAACAGGGUAGGUGAGUGCAAUAGUGCAUGUAGUUUGUGUUACAUUCAAUGUUGCGAAAAGCGUAAAUUGGUUUCAAAGCGACGAAAGCAUCUUCUAGCGUUUAAGCAAUAAAGCAGACGCUUAAGAGUAAUUUUAAGCGGAUCAAUAAAAUAUAAAUUAAAUUUUUAGUUAUAAUAUUAAUAUAUUUAAAGAUGAUAUAUGUUGUGACAAGAAUUUAAAUUUUUAAUAUUUUGGAUAAAAUAUAUAUUUUAAUUUUUUAAAUAUAAUUAUAGUUAUAUUAUAAAAAAAAUUAAUAUUUUAAAAUUAAAAAAUUAGCAAGUCGAUAUCAUUUUGACCGCUUAAAGACCGCUUAAUCUUCAAAAACGCUUAAUCUUCCUCUUAGUACAAAAUCGAAACGCUUUAUGACCGAUUCCGUUUAGACGGCCACUUAAUGCGCUUUUUACGAUACUGGUUACAUUUGGCUGGAAGGAUUAAAAAAAAUUGUCCUGUGUUGUUGGUAAGCUUUUAGAUAAUGUUGAAAUGUGCUUCAACGGUAGUACUUAGUACACGAACGUGGAAUUGCUCGUCAUUUAAAUAUUUGAUGGCCGUAGUAGGUGUUAGUUUGGAGUAUUGUAAAUCCGACUUCGUAUGUGUUUGGCUGAGAGUUUAAGGUGACUCAUUACUUAUGGUGAUUUGAUGUGAUAAUCUCGGACUUUAAGAUCUAUGUUUAGAUUAUUUUGAUUUAUUAAUGAAUUAUGAGUUAUUAAAAAUAUAAUAAUAAAAAUAAAAAUGAUUUACGAAUAAUUUAUGUUUUAUGAGUAAUUUUAUCAAAAAAAUCAAAAGAUUAAGUUACUGAAAAAAUUUCUGACUUUUCAGCUUAAAGUCGAAAAUGACGUUAAAAUACAGGUUUUAAGCCCAUACAAACAUGCUCUUGACUGAUAUAACAAUUAUUUAAAGAUUCAAAUAAUAGAGAUCAUCAAAUUUUAUUAAAUAUCAUGAUAUUUAAAUUAUUAAAUUUAUUAAUAUUUUCUGGAAAAAGAUAUAUGAUGUUUGAUUAGAUUUUGAAAAUUGAAUCGACGUAGAAUUAUAAUAAUUAAUAGAUUAAAUUGGUAACUUUUGAAUAAUGAUUUAGAAUUACAACAUAAACGGUGGAAUUUAAGUGGGCUGAUUUAUUUAUCUUCAUAGUUUGUAUUGAAUAUGGCAAAACAUGAUUGAAUAUUUAUAUUUAAUACAUUUUUGUAUAACUUAGUUUUUGUAAGAAUUACAUGGUAGAUAAACGUAUUAUGGUAAAGCGGAUUAUGGCCAGAUAUAAGUAAAUAUAUUAUGAGGUAAUUGUAAUCUGGACCUCCUAACUUUUGUUCAUAAAAAUAUCAUUUUUGAAUGAAAGUUAGGGGUCCGAAUUGCAAUUAUCUCAUAUAUUAUUUUUAAUAUAUCUUUUGAGCGUCUAUUCAUGAAGACGGCGACUAAUUUUUUGUAUUUAUUUGACUUUAUUUAUAAAAUAUCAUGUGAUUCUUUUAAUAUUCAAUUAAAUCUUUUCAUCUUGAAAAAAUCGUGAUUUUUUCAGGAAAUACAAAAGAAAAUGGAUCAUAUAAUGUUUUUGGCAGGUGUGAUGGACGCUAGAUAAAGGCUGCGAUGAUUUGCUUUGUUCAUUUUCACCCACCACAACUGACAAAAUAUUUGCCAAUUAGGUUCAAAAGUGGGUCUCAGUCUCGAUUUGAUUAUUCCUGUACUUUCGACGACAUCAGGUUUUUUGCGUUAAUUUUUGACACGUAUUUUAAAGUUUCCAUAAAAUAUACUUAUAUUAUAUAUUUAUUUUAAAAAAAAUGUUGAAAAAAAAUUUGACGUUUAAACUUUUAUUCAAAAAAAAAUUAUAAAAAUAUUAUUGAAUUAUAUUUUAUAAGAACCUCAAAAUACGUGCAAACAGUGAACGUAAAUAUCCUGGUGGGACGGAGGGAGUAUCUUCUAUUUAAUUUUAUACAUUUUUUCUUCUACUA
RNAcentral lists this long non-coding RNA (45971 nucleotides) under Daucus carota (carrot). RNAcentral's name for it is "long non-coding RNA (DCAR_LNC002607)". The record is from RNAcentral. Lineage: Eukaryota; Viridiplantae; Streptophyta; Magnoliopsida; Apiales; Apiaceae.